RNAcentral lists this long non-coding RNA (49595 nucleotides) under Ananas comosus (pineapple). RNAcentral's name for it is "long non-coding RNA (ACOM_LNC018333)". The record is from RNAcentral. Lineage: Eukaryota; Viridiplantae; Streptophyta; Magnoliopsida; Poales; Bromeliaceae.
CAUAUAAUUUGAUUAAAUAAUUACUUAUAUGCCUUCAAAACUUCUCAAAUAUUUUAUACAUACACAUUUUUUUCAAAUAUAUACCUUAUAUAUUUUUUCAUUAUUCAAAAAUAACUCCGCUAUUAGUACUUAUUAAGACAUAGUUUGAUAUUGAGUUCUAUCUAACGCUAUUAAAUAAAAUGGAAUUAAAAAAAAACAUACAUAUAGGGAUAUACUUCUGCGUUCUCCGGUGGGACCGCAGAAAAUAUAUCGUAACCAACUCAUCGCAAUAUGCGGAACACAAUAUUACGUACGAAAACAAACAGGGUAUUUUUCCAAUGUACUUUCUCACCGCACGUAACAUGAUCCUAAACGAAGCCUAAGUCAUCUUUGAUCAAACUCAGAUUAAAUUUUCAUCAAAAUUAAAAAAAUUUAAAACACCUAUUUUGCCCCUAAUUUAAGAACAAAUAAAAAAAACUGAUAGCAACAGAAGAGAUAUAUAUGAAAACAUAAAAAGUCAAAAUACUUUUUUGUUCCUAACUUAAGACCAAAUAAAAAAAUUUGGUGACGAUAGAAGAGUAUGUUUGAAGGAAAAAAAAAAUAGUAAUAUCACAGAGAUAACGAUAGUUUUUAAUAAUUCACUAAUAGAAUUUAACUCUGUGAGUAUAUAUGAAAUAAUUUAGAAUGUUAAAAAAAUAUUUUAAUAUUAACCUUCUAACAAGAUAAAGAGAAAAGUUAGGAACUUUUGAGGGACAUAUAAGUAAUUGCACUUUUGGUUUACUUGAUUUAUUAUACUACAACCUCUCUCUCUCUCUCUCUCUCUCUCUCUCUCUAUAUAUAUAUAUAUAUAUAUAUAUAUAAAAUAGAGUGAGGCUACUAUGCUUCUGGUAGCAUAGAGCCUUCCUACUUUCAUAUCGUUUUUCAUGUUGCGACUUUCGAAUCGUCGAUCGGCUCCGUUGAACUUGAUCUAGAGUGUUUAAAGUAUCUAGAAAAUAAAUUUUGUAAUUUUUCGAUAUUAUUUGUCUAGUGAACUAAGGGGCUCAAAAUCAACAGCUGAAAAUAAAAAUCUUACAAAACGUGAUAAUAUGACAUUAAAAUUUUAGAUCAAAGAUAUUUAUCUUGUUUUAUAUAGUAUAAAGAAUUUUCUAUCAAAAUUUCACGUGAUUUGGAUAUUUCUACACCGUUAAACUUGCAAACGGCUCACCACGGCCUUUAAAAUUAUUAAUUUUGAACCCCUUCGAUCACUAGGCAAAUGAUAUCGAAAAAUCAUAAAAUUUAUUUUCCAAGUACUUCAAAUACUUUAGAUUAAGUUUAACGGAUCCGAUCGACGAUUUGAAAGUCACAACAUCGAAAACGAUCUGGAAGCACGGAAGGUUCUGUGCUUCUAGAAGCAUAGUAGCUUCACUCUAUAUAACAUGCAUUAAAGGGGUCAAACAUUAAUUGUAUACAGACGAUGUUACAUAAUUUGUAAAAUGUAUUUCUAUGUAUAUAUGUCUACGUGCACUUAUUGAUUCAAACACGAGAGUGAUCGAUCAAUAAUAAGUGUCAUGCAUUCAAAGUCAAAAUUGGUGUCGUAAUUACUUUUGAGCAUUUACUUCAAAAAAAAAACAAAAAAGUCAUGCUGAACAUGUCUUUCUCAACUUUUAUGUGUGUAAAUAAUUAUAUAUAUACACAAAAACAAACCAAAAGAUUAGAUUCGUGAUUAACUAAAACACUUCUUAUAUUAAGCUACGCGAUCACGCUUAAUUAGAAAUAUUAAUUCAAAGAUCAUGUGCUAGCUCAAGGGAAAAAACCAAUAGAAGUUUAGUAAUAGCUUAAUUACGCCGUGCGGCCGUUAUAGCUAAUUAUGUUUAAUUUAGUGGCCUAUAAAUGGAGUGUUUUUAGAAGCAUGGUGUUCUCCGUUCUAAUGGGGCAUCUGAAUCGACCAUUCAUAUGCUCGAUCCAUUAGCAAAAAAUAAUACAAAAGUAAAUAACUUCGCUAACGUUUGAGAGUAACUCUAACCUAUCUCUUAAUUCAUUGGAUACAUUAAAUUUGGUGAAGAUGUGUCUCCCAAAAAAUUAAUUAAAGCACUAAUAGGCUUAUUAGCUAAUUAAGUAGGAUUCAACAUGAAGUUAUUAAAGUGCUAGCUAGGGUUUGAUUGGUUUAGUAGGAGAACCUUCAAAAGAUGCAUUAACAAUAUUCUAUUAGAAUCGUAUCUUAAGUAGUAGAUUUUUUUUAUUAAAUUGUGGUGUUUACAAUUAAAUCUUAUGCUUUUAGUAAAGUUAAAUGUCAUUGUGCUCCAAUACCUCUAAACUUAUUACUAUUCACUUACUUUUAUCUUUUAUAGUGUGGUUAGGUCGAAUAAUAAUAGAUCCAAGUGUAAAAAAUUAAAAGUAUGUGAAUAGUAAUACUUUUACAUGUAUUCGAGCUCAGCACAAGUUAAAUGCUAGCUUAUUUUAUUAUUCUAUUAUUAUUAAAGUGUCGGAUUUUUUUAUAUAUAUAAUUUCGAGUGCCUGUGUUUUAGUUGUUAAAGUUGCUUUUCUUGUCUUUGUCCUUUUAAGUCAAUUUUUUGGAUAAAUAGGAUUAGAGCUAAUUUUUACGACGUUUAUUCUGUAAUAGGUUAUGAGUAUAAUCCUCAUCUUUAAUAUUUAACAAGUAAAAUUUUUAUAUUAUAUUAAAUGAGUUAAAUCUCUAUUUUUUAUGUUAUCUAUCGAAAUCACGUGUCUUUCAUAUUAUGCUAGUGAGCGGAGGUAUAAAAUAUAUAUUUUUGGACUCAUUGACAGCUAACUUUAUAAAUAGUAAUUAUGUGUCGCAUUAUAUAAUCUUUUUAUCUUUUUAAUAAAUUACGCAGAAAAUCACCCUUCUUCUUGUAGGCCAAAAAAGAGAAAAGGAAAAGAAAAGGAGAGGUUGGCUAAAAAGGUGGAGAAAGGUUCAAAGCUAAGAUUAAUGAUAAAAUAAUAAACUUAGCUUUGUUCCAAUGAGGUGGAAAACCAUGAAAAAAAACAAAAGCAAGUUAAAUAUUUGAUCUCACACUCUCUAAUGGGUUUAGGUUUGCAGAUAAAAAAAAUCUAUAAAACAGAAAAAAAAAAAAAAAAAAAAAAAAAAAACUUUCUAGUUAAAAUUUGUUAAAAAAAUUUAAAAAAAUUGAAGAAUAAAAAAAAUUUUUUUUUUUGCCAGAAAACUAUUUUCUAAAACUCUCUCUGCGAAUCCAACACAAUGAGGAGGAUAAAGUGGGAGAAUUAUUUGAUGGUAACACCCUUAACCUUUCUCAACAUAUUUCAAACCUACCAUUCUUUUGGUUUCCCAUUUCCCUUAUCUUCAAGAAAAGUGAAAAAGGAGGCCACACUUUGGAUUCAUUAAAAAAAAAUAAAUAAGUAAAAAAGGAAAAAGUGGGCCUAAAAGAGACUCUCAAAAGUCAGUGUAUCAACAUUGGGAAUUCCAAGAUUUGCCAAUUAAUUAAUCAAUCAAUCAAUCAAUUAAUCAAUUAAUUAAUUAAUCCCCCUUGAUUAAAUGGGGGUUUGUGUGGGGGUGUGAUGAACCCUAUAAAGGGCAAAAGUGAGGAAGGGAUUACUUUUCACACAAGUCCCUACCUUUUAAAACCGUUGCAAAAGAGCCACUAACUUAGCACCAGAAAUUAAUGUUUCAGAAACAUACACGUUCUUUCAUUCUAAUUCUGUAUGCGUAUCAAAAUUAAAGAACAAAUCACACUAAGUAAUUAAUUAAAAACAAAAAAUUAUACUUUUUUAAAGAAAAAAUUAGAACUCAGAAAGAGACUUGUGUGUCUAAACCGGCGGAAAAGUUAGGAGCACUUUUAAAGAUAUCUUAAAAUUGAGGGAGUUGUAAUAAAAAUUACCAUAAAUAAGGAGUACCAUGAUGAUGGUUCUAAUUAUAUUUUAAUGCAAGGGCAUCAUUCCAAAAGAUUACUUUUGAUUGAGCCACAAAAGGCAGCAACAUGCCUGCAAAUUUGCCAUUUCCAACCUAACCUACUCCUACUUCCCCUCAACCAAAGAUUUUAUUAUAAUAAUUGCUAUAAUUGUAGCAUAUAAUAUAUAUAUAUAUAUAUCCUUUUCUUUAAUAAUAAUAUAUAUAAGUGAAAAGAAAAAGGAAAGAUUCCCCUUUUAGAUAGUUAUUGUAUGUUGAAAAGACACCAAUAGAUUAGUAGCAGUAGUAGUAGUAGUGUGUGGGGAGUGCUUUUUAAUUGUUUUUUUGUUGGAGGAUUCCUUCAUAAAUGAAGUCCCAUAAUGUGUUGACACUUUUAUUAAAGUAGGCCAAAUAAGAAUAAUAGCAUUUGUUAGAUAACUUGUGUAGACAACAAGAGAGAGUUUGCGUUGGGGGGGUGGGGGAAGGCCAAAGCCAAUUAACCAACUUUUUCUUGUGGGAUAUGUAAUCUACAAAUUUGUAAAAAAUAUUUACAGAUGAAACACAUCUUAAAUAUUAAUUUGACUUACGUAUUACAGAUAUUUCUAUAAGACUCGCCGUAUUUAUGUUGCACAUGCCAUGAAUGCGCAUCCGUUGCAGGUCUAUAGCAUAUUUCAUUAAAAAAUAUACAUUCUUUUAUUUUACUACUUUUAUGCAUGUACGAAGAUAAAUAUAUUUGACUUUUUGAAAAACACAUACAAAUUUUUUUUUGAAUAAUAUAAAUUAAUUAUAUAUGAUGGAGGAUUUUUAAUAUUUUAGCAAAAUUAACAUUUUACAUUAUUAAUAAACAUAUAUUUUUAUAUUAAUAUUAUACUUUAGUAAUUGUGUUCAUGUCGUGUCCGUAUUAUAAUUUUUUACAAGUUAUCGAGUCGUCGUGUCUUAGUCAUGUCACAUUCCGUGUCCUUGCGUUUUAUAUAAGAGUAUUUAUUUUGUAACACAGAGGAGUUUUCUAUACACUGAAUCUACAGAGAGUUUGUAUUUCGAUCGCAUGCUGAUUUUCUUUUGGAUUGCUUUUCCAAAUAGAAUUGCUAACUUUGAGUGCAACAUAUUUGCUGAUGUGUUGCAAAAAAGAAUCAAGCAUCAUAUGAUGCAUUUAAAACAUGCCAAAAAUGAAAAAAAAAAAAGGUCAUUAUUUACAGUAUAGAUUAAAAAGGUGUCAACAUAGAUAAUAAAUUUAUAGGCAAAAAUAUUUACAUAGGACUAGCUCUGCUACUAUAUUAUUCAAAAGAAUAAUUUGACAAAAUAUAAUUUAAAAUUAAUCUUAACACUACCUAUGUUGAUUUCACCUUCAGGUAAAUAAAAAUAAAAGAAAAUUCUCUCUCCUCUCAAAAAGUAGUAAAAGAUUAUCGCUAAAAAUCUGAACUAAAAUCGAAACCAAAUAAUUUUAAAAAUCACAAUCAAAUCGAAACCGUCAAAAAAUUUUAAAUCCUCACAAUUCAUUCAUUAUUUGAUAAGUUCUACCGGAAAAUUAAGACUAAUUGAUUGAACACCUUAUAAUUGAAUCCGUUCCAUCCGAUUUCAAUUAAAAUCGUCAUGUCCUUUAACUAUUAAACACGCAACAUAAAAACACCAUUUUUUUUUUAGAAAAAAAGUUGUUUAAGUUUUUUGAAGUGAUUGACCGUUUUACUUAAUAUUAAAUCAGAAGAUCCUAAAUUUGAAUCGAGCAAACGUUCCCACGUCGUGUUAUAUAAAACUUAGCCAACAUAUCUAAAACACACAAGUAAAUAUAUAUUUAUUUAUUUAUAUAUUUUCUUUUCUACCUGAGAAAAGUAAAAUCCAUUGUCUCACCUAACUACUUUCAUAUUGCCUAACUUAAUUGGUUUAUAAUAAUAAUAAUAAUAAUAAUAAUAAUUUGAUGUGAUGUGGACAUCACAUAGAAAACUCUCCUGUCUAUGUCAAUUUCUAAUCUAAUGUAGUGGUAUUUUUUGGACUUAACUAAAAUUACAUCACUCUAUCAAUUAUAUUAUGUUUGGAUAAUUAUUAUUUUAAUCAUAUGUGAAAGGAUAAUCCUUCUAAUUAAUCUUACCAAUUUUAUCCAGCCAACAAUGUAUAAAGAUCCGCAAACUUUAGCAAUUUUACAAACAGAUCAGUACCGAAUUAUUAUAUUUUAGUGAUUAGAUUGGACCCUUCUGAACUUCAUCACAUAAAUCAAUAAAUCUUUCUCCUCGAGCGAGAUUACUGGUUUUACCGUUGUUUUGAUUGCAUAUCUUAUAUAUAAUUUUAUAUUUCUUCAAAAAAAAAAAAAAAUCUAUUUUUUCCUUUCCUAGUUAUGAUGAUAAUUAAUUACUAGUUUCUAGUAGACAUUUUACAGUACUUUUUAUUUUUUUUUAGCCCUUCUAUAAUUUAGAGUAAAAAUGAGAAAGUUUUCAAUUAGCCUUUUUAUUAUUUAGGGUGUGCUUGAUUUGAUGUAAAAGUGGGUGAGAAAAAAUAAUAAGUGGAAAAACGGUUUGCGGCUCGUUUGUUUCGACCUAAAAAAAUUUUACGCGAAAAAUAGUUUUACGUAGUUGGGGGAAAAUUUUCUCUUUCGUUUUCUGCGCGAGAACGGCGGAAAAUGAAAACGCGGCUCAUGGCGUUUUCACGUAGUCCUCUCAUGUACUGCAUAAGAAGGAGGUCCAUUCAUUUUAUAUAUAUAAUUUUAUUUAUAAUUUUAUCUAUAAAUAUUUAUUUAUUUAUUAUAUAUAUAGUAUUUUAUUUUUAUAUAGAAAUAUUAUUAUAUAAUAUUUUAUUUAUAAAUUUAUAAUUAUUUAUUAAUAUUCCUAAAUAUAUAACUCUGGUAUAUUAUGUAAUAUAUUUAUUAUAAUUUUAAAUAUAUUUAAUCUAUAUAUAAAAAUUAUAAGAAUAAUAUAUAUAACAUAUUAAUUAUUAUAUAUUAAUAAUAUAAAUAAUAAAAAAUAUAUUAAAUAAUUUGUCAUCUAUUUUUUUUUUCUACAAACCAAACACUAAACAACGUAAAAUCGUUUUUCCACCGAAAAUUUUUUCCCACUGAAAUUUUUACGUGGAACCAAACACUCCCUUAACGCAUCUUCACUAUACAUAUCAUCUUAUGAUUUGACCAGUAUCAUUUUACUAUUUUAGGAUUUUACUUUAUUUUUUAUUGUAAAAAUCUAUAUAAUAGUAAAAUAAUAAAACACAAAAAUCAAAUGAUAAUAGAUUAAUGAAAAUCAUAGGCUACAAGCAUAUUGCAUUUUACCAUGAUAUAUGUAGUUGUUGUAUCAUUUUGCCACAUAUAUAUUUAACGACAGGUCAUUAAGGUAUAAAAUGAAAAGUAUUAGAAAAUAAUAAUUCAACACUUUUACAAACUACAAGGAUGGCAAAAUAAAAUUACGCUAAACACAAUAGCGUAAUUAAAUUAUUUUCAAAUGAGAAAAAAUAAUCACAUCCUAAUUAAGGUGAUGCAACGGAAAAGGCAAAUAAGAUGGUUUUUUUUUUUUUUGCAUUUAGCCUCUUAAUUUUUUUUUUCAUAAGUAGCUCUAUCAAAUUUAUAAUUACAAUUUUGGUUUUAUUUCCACAAGCUGGCUGGGGAGGGGCGUUAAGUUGAAUACGGUGAAUCAUUCACCGUGUUCAAAUACGAUGAUGGUUCAUCGUGUUCUAUACUUAUAUUCUUUUUUUUAAUAUUUAUAUUUUUUUCGCAAUACAUAUAUUUUUCUUAGAUACGAUGAAUCAUUUACCGUGUUUAGACACAGUAAAUGAAUUACCGUAUUCAAUUUAUUUACUCGCAUGACGCUUACGUGGCGCCUGCAUGAUGGGAAUAGGGCUAUAAUUACAAUUAUAAAUUUGAUGAGAUUAUUUAUGAAAAUAAUUUUUUUGAGGGGGCCAAAUUCAAAAAAAAAUCCUUUUUUUUCUUUUUCCUAUGUUAACUUUUGGUGCACCAACAAGGAAAUUAAUAAGUGUAUUAAUUAUUUCGAAAGGAGAAAAGUGUGUAUUAAUUUAGUGGUCCAAACCCAUAGAUUGUUACACACUCCACUAAUUAAAAAAAUAAUGUGAAAUUAAUAAAAAACAAAAAAAAAAAGAAAGGUGGGGAAAAGAGUAGUAGUAGGCGAGACCAACGUGUAAAGUAACGAAAAAAAAAGAAAAAAAAGUGCGAAUGUUAAAGCAAGAGGCCACUUUUUUCACACUUUUUUAAAGUGCUUCCUAAAAACAAACUUAUGAAACUCCCUUGCCACUGAACCGGGAACAAGUAAGGACCAUUUUGAGAAAACAAAAACAAAAAAAAAAGCGCAUUUAUUUCCCAACAUUUAGUGGUUUUCUCACUUUGGUCCUUAACCUUUGUAUUUUAUUUCAAUUAGGUCCUAACCCUAAAAAAAAAACAAUUUUGAGGGAUUUGGAGUUUGAAAUUACAAGAGUUUUUUUUUUUUAUCUUCAACUUAAGUUUAAGCUUUUGAGCAGGUUUAGGACACAUUAAAAUGGUAUAUAUCAGAGCUUAUUCUUAUCUUUUUCAAUUAUAUCUAGCCUAAAUUGUUGUAAUUUUGCUAUAUUUUGUGAAACAAUCACUGUACUUUAAAAGUUUAAACUGUUAGAGAACGAUAUUUAUAUAUUUUUAUAUUUAACACUCUCCCCCACGUCUGAACACAAGAUUUUUUUACAAGGCCCAUGACAUGGACUUGACUUAAAUGGGAAUGUUAGGAGUCUGGCAUGAUUAAUUUGAACUCAGGACCUCCUUCUCUGAUACUAUAUGAAAUAACCGAUGUACUCUAAAAGUUGAUAUCAUGUAAAACAACUGCUGUACUCUAAAAAUUUAAGUUGUUAAAGAACGAUAUUUAUAUAUUUCUAUAUUUAACAUAUUUUAGUCCAAUUUCGAUUAUAUACGGCCUCAAACCCAAUUUAGUUGACUGAAUAUUAACGCGUCACGGGUAUAAAUGUGAGACCCCAGAUAGUCCUAUAUAUGAGAUAUAAUAGGGCUAAACUCUUAACCCGGCUUAAGCAUUUUGGGUGGUGGCAAGGCUCAAGAGGUUAAGAGAGUUAAGCGUGCUAGAACGGAAGAAAUUGUAUUGAGUUGGGGCGUCACAAUAAAAGUGAUAUUACAUCUCUUAAUUAUUGUCCCAUAAUCAAUCACAAUAUUUGCUAUAUUACUUUCACAUUAGCGACGUAUUAAUAUUUAGUCAACUAAAUUAGUUGAAAGACUUGAGUAUAAUACUUCUGAAAGUUCAAAUUAGAAAGCAGAAUAAAUUAGAAUUUGAAGACUAAAAUAUCAUAAUCUUAUAAUUUGAGGACCAAACGUGCAAUUUAGCUCCGUAAUUUCAACUUUUUAGAUUGUCGCAAUCAAAUUAAUUUCACUGUCUAAUUAAUUUCGCAAAAUAGUGAUGUGUUGUAAAUAUUGUAAUGAUGCGACAGCGUUAGAGUUGAUAACUUGAGGAUAACUAAGACGUCAUAAAUUAUAGGGGCAAUUUCAUGGAUACCCCUCCCAAAAUUUAAAAUAUCAUAGAUGCCCCUAUAAAGUUUAAAAUAUCACCAAUACCCCUAUAAACACAAAAAAUUAUCAUUAAUACCCCUACUGUUAGUUAGGUUAGUUUUACUAUAGUUAUUACAUAGUUAAAGAUGGGUUAAUUUUUAAAAUGACUUAUUUACCCUCAAAUAUCUUUUAACUAAAAAUGUAUGGAAACCCCCUCAACUAUAUGCAUUUUGAAACAGCUCCCUCAACUUUCAUUUUUUAGUUGAUAUCCCAUUAACUUUUUAUUUAAAAAAAAAACCUAAUUUCAGUGUAUAAAAAAAAAAAAAUUUUUUAGUUUUUUUUGAUGAUUUUACCAAAUCUAAUGGCUCUAUUUAUUUUUUAUCAAAUAAAUAACUAUAUAUAAAAAUUUAAAUGAAAAUAAUGUUAAGGAAUUAUCCGAUCUUUCUUUAAUCUUGAAAACUUAAAAAUUUUUUUAAUCAAAAUUAUUCUCGAUAAUUUUAUCUGCAUUAAGUGUAUUAAAAAACUGAAAUAUAAUAUAUUUUAGCUUUUGAACAAAACUCUCUUUUUAUUUCAAUCGACAAAACAAUUAUGUGAUUUAUUUUUAAAUAGGAAAAAAAUAAAAUCUAUAAUUUAUUUCAAAAUUACUAUUACUAAUUAGGAAUGUGAAUUGAUAUAGAUACGGAAUUUUAUCUAAACUCGAUUUAAAAUGGGAUAAGUUUAAUCAAUGCUGAAUAGGGAUAGUUUUAGUUAUAGGUACCAAAAAAUAAAAUCCCGUCGUAUGUAAAUUCAGUUAUAGUUUUGGUCUAUAUUUAAACCGAAUCUGAACCGAAACCCAAAACCAAAAACAAAACCAAAAUCAGAUAAAAACAUACUAUAUUUAAAAUACAAUUUUUAUAUAUUUUUUAUUAAUUAAUAUAUAUUAAUAAUUUAAUUUACUAUUUAUAUAUUAAAUACUCAAAUUUAGAUUUACAAAAAUUAUUUUGAAAUACCUAUUAGUAUUUCUACUAUUAAAAAGAGAUGAAGGGUAAAAAUGGUAUUUUAAAAAUUUAACUCCGAUUCAAAUGGGUUUUAAUGGAUCUUAACUAGAGGAGGGUAUUUAUGAUAAUUUUUCACAUUUUGGAUGGCAUUUGUGAUAUUAUUAAUUUUGGAAGAGUAUUGAUGAAAUUAAUAGUUUCUAGAGGGGCAUCUAUGAAAUUAUUCCUAAAUUAUAAAUCUUAAAUUACAUUUUAGAAAAAAAAACUUUUUUUUAAUAAAUGUAAAAUGAUUCUAUAAAGGUAAAAAUUUAAUGAUCCACUAACAUGAGUCAACCUGUAUGAAUAACUUCAUAAAUUUUAUAUCUUUUUCGAGAAGGUAUAUUUGAUAACUAAAAUUUUGUAGGAAUAAAUUUGUAAUUUCAAAACAUUAUAAUAAUAUAUAUAAAAAUAUUCCUAAAUUUUAAAUGCUAGAUAGAGCCAAUUUAAUAGUGUACUAAAAUAUUAUAUAGAAAUGCUUCAAUACAGUAGUGAACUAUUAAAUAGUAAGAAAAACUUCAAAUACCAUCUCUGUGAUUUCACAUUUUUUUAUUUUAGUAUCUUGUGGUUUAAAGUGUAUUAUUUUAGUACUCCAUGGUUUCAUUUUUCUCUUUUUAUUAUCCUCCUUCCUAUUUUUUUUUUCGUUAAAUUAGUAAAAAAGAUAAAACUAAAAUAUAUUAAAGUGAAUAUUCGAUAAACCUAGGAGAGGUAUCGGAAAUUUUUUAUAUAUAAUUUAACGAAAUGUUAACGAAGGAGCUGACCAAAAGAGAAAAAUAAAACCACAGGGUAGUAAAUUGAUACACUUUAAAAUAUGAAAAAUUAAAGUGAGAAAGUGUGAAACUAUAAGGGUGAUAUUUGAAGUUUACCCUAAAUAGCAAUAUGCUUGCUCUCAUAUUGCGCAUCGUAAAUAUCCCACUGGAUUAAAAAUUACACCAAUUAUCAUUCUAUAUUUCACCAAUAUUUCAAAUAGAUCCAAAAAUUAAAUUAUAAAAUUUUAUUAAAACGGGUUGGCAUGUCGCAUUGUUCUACAUCUGAUCAAUAUCUAUUUAAUUGACAACUUAAAAAAUAAAUAAAAAAAUUAUAAAAAUGAGAUCUCUUAUUCACUAUCAAAUUUAAUAGUUUACUGAAUAAAUUUAUUCAAUUUAUAUAAUUCUAUUAUAUUAAGCAACUUCAUUUGCAAACUAAUUUUUAUAAAAUUUUACAGUUCAAUUCCACGAUCAUCGUUAAUAAUUUAAGCUAUUUGUGUUAGAAGCGUGAUUUAUGCUGAUACCGAUUAUAUAACCCAAAAUUUAAAAUAGAACUAAAUAAUAUAGAAAAGAAAUAUUGGAGGAGGAAGAAAUAGCUAAACUAAUACUUUAUUAAUAAAAAGCAAUUAAUUACAUUUCGGGCAACACCCUCGGCCAUGUCUAUUAUAUAUGACUUAUUCAUCUAAUUAGCCCAUGCCUAACUAUAUAUAGCCAUCAAAUCAUAACAGAUGAUAAAUUCAAUUUUAUUUUGGAUAAUUACAUAUCUUAAUCAUAGUCAAAUAAAAUAUUUAAACUUAUCUCUAAUUAAUUAUAUUUUAAUUAAAUUUGGAUUAUUAUUCCAACAAUUUGAUAUAAUGGAAAAGUUAUAGGUAGCUGAUUAAUGCAAUUUUCAGUGCAAGAGUACUACAACUGAGAUGUGGGCUAAAGUGUGAGGAGGAGUUUUAUAAUUUAUACCUAAAAAAGUAUAGAGCAUCAAAAUUAAUGAGGUUUGUUGUAAAAAAGCAUUACCUAAUUAGGCAUAAUAUAUAGAGUGAGGCUACUAUGCUAUCGGAAGUACGGAGCCUACUGUGCUUCCAGCUCGUUUUCGAUGUUGCGACUUCGAAUCGUCGAUCGGCUCCGUUAAACUUGAUCUAGAGUAUUUAAAGUAUCUAGAAAAUAAAUUUUAUUAUUUUUCGAUAUCAUUUGCCUAGUGAUCGAAGCGGCUACAAAUCAACAAAUUUCAAUGGCCAUAGUGAGCCAUUUGCAAGUUUAACGGUGUAGAAAUAUUCAAAUCACGUGAAAUUUUGAUAGAAAAUUCUUUAUACUAUAUAAAACAAGAUCAAUAUCUUUGAUUUAAAAUUUUAAUGUCAUAUUAUUAUAUUUUGUAAGAUUUUUAUUUUCAGCCGUUGAUAUUAAGCCGCUUCGUUCACUAGGCAAAUGAUAUCGUAAAAUCAUAAAAUUUAUUUUCUAGGUACUUCAAAUACCUCCUAUCAAGUUUAACGGAGCGGAUCGACAAUUUGAAAGCUGCGAACAUCGAAAACGAGCUGGAAGCACGGAGGGCUCUGUGCUUCCAGAAGCAUACCAGCCCACUCUAUAUAUAUAUAUAUAUAUAAUAUUAUAUAUAUUAUAUAUAUAUAUAUAUAUAGAGUGGGCUGGUAUGCUUCUGAAGCACAGAGCCCUCCGUGCUUCCAAGUUGUUUUCGAUGUUCGGACUUUCGAAUCGACGAUCGGCUCCAUUAGAGUUAAUCUAGAGUAUUUGAAGUAUUUAGAAAUAAAUUUCGCGAUUUUUCAUAUUAUUUGCCUAGUGAUCGAAGGGGCUCAAAAUCAAUAAUUUUAACGGCCGUGGUGAGCCGUUUGCAAGUUUAACGGUGUAGAAAUAUCCAAAUCACAUGAAAUUUUGAUAGAAAAUUCUUUAUACCAUAUAAAACAAGAUCAAUAACUUUGAUCUAAAAUUUUAAUAUCAUAUCAUCAUAUUUUGUAAGAUUUUUAUUUUCAGCCGUUGAUUUUGAGCCCCUUCGAUCACUAGGCAAAUGAUAUCGAAAAAUCGCGAAAUUUAUUUUCUAGAUACUUCAAAUACUCUAGAUCAAGUCUAACAGAGCCGAUCGUCGAUUCGAAAGUCCCAACAUCGAAAACAACUUGAAAGUACGGAGUGCUCCGUGCUUCCAAAAGCACCCCAGACGCACUCUAUAUAUAUAUAUAUAUAUAUAUAUAUAUAUAUAUAUAUAUAUUGUAGUUGGAAAACAAAUACAAUAUUACUCCUGUACUUAACUAAUUUUUUUGUGGUACCUCUUCUAGACAAAUAUAUAUAAAAGCAUUUACCAAGGACAAUACCUAACUUUUUGUCUAUUUCUAAGCAUUAAUUUCUAGCAAACUCUUUGACCAUUUAAUUUGGCAAAUUUGGGACAAUUUUGGGCUUAAAAUAAAUGUGCUUUAAAGUUGUCAUUCAAUGGGUUAGGAACAAUAUAAACUUUAGUUCAAUAUUUGACUACAUUAUAAUAUUGCCCUUCUAUUGUUGAAUAUCAAAAAAGAACAAAUAUUAUUAGGGUUGGAAUUCUCCUAAGAGUACCCUUUAAUGAUUAAAAUUAUGCCAUUAAGCUUAUAUAUUUUUCAAUAUUUUAUUGUAGUUAUAUUACACAAGGAACUACAUGUCAUCUCAAACUAAUGUAUAGAUCCAAUUUGAUUAUCUUAAGAAAACAAUUUGGGAAAAAUUAGAUAAUAUGAAAGUUAUAUAUUUUCAACCCUAACGUUUUUCUUCUGUUAUAGUUGGCAAUCUUUUAUUAUUAUUAUUAUUAUUUUUUCCUUCAAACAAACACGUAAAUUUCAUUUUAGGCUACUCACGUCUUUGAAAAGUCGAAGACUAGCUAUAUCAUCUUAUAUUUAAAAGUGUAUAUGAAGAACUGAACCUCUGUCCUCUUAAUAAUUAAUGAUUCGAGAUACCAACCAACUGCAUUAAGCAGUAGUGAUAUAAUGGAGAAUAUACACGUAAAAAUUAAAAUUAUAUCUAUGCUUAUAAAAUUGAAACUGAAUUAAUUUUUUUGUAACAACAAAAGUCUUUAGGUACAUAUAUACAUGUACUUUAAGCCAGGUAAAAAUUCUCUGUUCCCAAAAAUGCUACAUAAAAUAUACAUCUAUGUAAUAACACCAAACACUGUUUAGAUGUACAUCCAACUAUAUAACUAUUUAAAAGAGAUGUACCAAUAAUGGCAAAAGGUGAUGAGCUCAACUCAAAGCAAACAAUAUGUACACCAACUUUCACUGUGCAAAACAUUUAUGAUUCAUGUAUUUUUUAUCAAUUAUAUAUAAAUAUUUAUCAUUAAUGGAGUUACCCUAGAAUACCUCUAUGCUGGUGUGUGGUGCUAUUGAGUCUUUUUUUUUUUUUUUUAUGGAGUGAUGGAAUUCGAUGAUUUACGAUGUUGAAUGAUCGAGAGUUUCAUAAUUUUAGAAAAUUGUUUUGUAGUUCAUCAAGUGAUCGUAAAAUACACGAUCAAAAUAGAACAAAUCUGUCGAAAUUUUAGAAUAGAAGUCUCAAAUUCAAAAUCAGGAUAGCGUAUUUUGAUCUAGAUUGUUAAAAAAUUUAAUUGAUUUUAAUGGUGUUAUACCAUUAAAAGAAAAAAUGUGUCAUAUAGGGUAUUAAAAUUAUUCAAUUUAAAUUGUAUAUUUACAUUACUGUUGCUUCAAAUAGGUCUAAGAUUUAAAAUAAGGGGCAAUUACUUAUAUAUCACUGAAAAGUUUCCGACUUUCUGAUUUACCUCUCUUAAUUAGAAGACUAAUAUUGAAAAUACUUUUUUUACGUUUCAACCUAUUUCAAAUAUACCCCUAAAGUUAAAAUCUGUUAAUGAACUCUGUUAUUUCUAUAAAAUUACUAUUUUGCCCUUUCAAAUAUACCCUUCUAUCUGCACGGAUUUUUUUAUUUGCCCUUAAGUUAGGGGCACAAAAAGUAUUUUGUUUUUAAUCUUUUCAAAUAUACACUUUUACCAUCACCAAUAUUUCUUAUUUACUCUUAAGUUAAGGACAAAUAUGACGUUUUAAUUUUUUUUUAACUGUGGUAGAUAUUUAACUCACAUUUAACCCAAGUUAACUUAACGGAUGAUAACGGUAGGGGUGCGUUUGGUUCCCACUAUGAAAGAUUACUAGCAAUAAAAAGAUGUCCGAAAAUUUUAUUACUAUUCAUUCUAUUACUAAGAAUGUGGUAUUCUUGUAUUUGGUUCGUACGGUUAUAUUAUUUAGUCAUAUUAUUUAAGUUUACAAAAAAUAUACAAUUAAUAUAUUUAUUUCUUUAAUUAAUUUUAGAUAAUGGCAUCAAAAAUUUCAACAUCUUUUUAGAAAAAGGGAGAGAGAGAACAUAGGUUAGAGAAAGAGAGAGAGCAUAAUUAAAGAAAUAGAAAGAGAAAUAGAAUUAAGAUUAGAGGAAGUGAGAGAGUUGAGAUUUUAGAAAAAGAGGAGAAGAAAGAGCUUAGGUUAGAGAGAGAAAAAGAGUUGAAGUUUAGAGAGAAAAAAUAAGUUUAGAGAGAGAUAUGAAGUUUGAAUGUAAAGAAAAAUAAUACCAACUAGCCGGCGGGUAAGGAAAAAGAAAGAGAUUAGAUAUAUUAUGAUUAUCCUAAUCCAUUAAUACGAGGAUACUCAUCAUUCCUCAAGGGAAUGAGAUCAGUACUUUGGGAUGAAUCUCAUUCCCAAAUAAAUCUAAUAUUACCGAUUAGAUUACUUAGUGCGUUUAGUCAAAUACCGUCAUAUUUUUUUAUUCCUAUUGGAUUAUUAGGAAUAUUAAAAAGAUAGCGCGAACCAAACGCACCCUAGGAGCAUUUUGAAAUAACGAAGGAACAUAUGAGAAAUAUAUUAGAAAGAAAAAAAAAAAAAGGAUAAAUCACUAGCUGUUUACACUUUAUUGCUCACACCUUAAGAAUAAAAUGUGUUUCAAGGGACAAAGAUUAUUAUGAUGUUUCACAGAUCCUAAUCUGACUCGCUCAUGAAUUCUAAUCAGACCCGAAUUUGUAGUCUCUUUUUUAUUAUAUUAGAAAAGAUAUUUUGUUUGAGAUAUCUAUUAGAUUAAGAAUAUGUUUUAAUUUAUUCUUUUCUAAUUAGUCCGUUUAUCAUAUGGACUUAUUAUAAUGAUUCUAACUCUAUAAAUAAAAAGCUUUGUGUUUUUAUAGAAAAGGUCCAUUCAAUUAAUAAAGAAGUGAGUUUUUUUAAAUAACUUUUAGCAGGUUAAGUUAGGAGAGAAGAUCUCUCUUUCUCUCUGUAGCGGAGAAGUGUCAAAUAAAGACAUUAAAUUUAUUUAUCAGUAUCAAUUUUACAACCAGAAAUUAACAUGAGAUCCUAACAUAUUCUAACUCAUUUGUAUAUAAUUUUGUAUCCAAAAUGUGUAAUUAUUUUAAAAUUUGAAAGGUGGGCUAAAGUGCUGAUUUUUAUUUGUGGGCAAUUAUUGAUAUAUUCCUGAAAAAUUUUUGACUUUCUUAUUUACCUUUCUUAAAAUGCUAAUAUUAAAAAUACUCUUUUAAUAUUUCAAGUUAUUUCAAAUAUAUUUCUAUAGUUAAAAUCUGUUAGUGAAUUAUUAAGAAAACCGUUAUCUCUGUAAAAUUACUAUUUUGCAAGUAUACCCUUCUACAAUCAUUGACAUUUCUUAUAUGCCCUUAAAUUAGGAGCAAAAGAGAUAUUUUGACCUUUUUUUUUUUCAAAAAUAUUCUUCUACCGUCAUCAGCUUUUCUUAUUUGCUCUUAAGUUAGGGGGCCAAAUAGGUAUUUUGACUUCUUUUUAACUCUGGUAGAAAUUUAAUUCGGAUUCAAUCCGAGAUGACUUAACAUAAAUAUAUUAAAUAACAAAUAAAUAUAUGAGUGGGGUAUUUGAAAUAAAAAAAAUAGAAAUAUAUAAAAUGUUUCAAAAUUUUUGAAAGGUAUAUUAAAUACUGUCCUAUGUGUUGUGUGUGUGUGUGUGUGUGUGUGUGUGUUUGGUGUGGCGGGGGAGAGGCACUGAUAUAGCUAACUGCAAUAAGGAAAUUGUGUGAAGGCUUGUCUGAAAUUGUUCACAUCACUUUCUGGGGAAGCUACUGUUGGACAAAAUUGGUCCUUUAUCAGUCAGGAGAAAAAGCCUGCUGCUGUCAAACUUUUUAAAUGGCUUUUGGGUUUGCUCAUGAUCAGAAUGCUGUUCAGAAAGCAUCAAACAAACAAUCUCUCUCUCUCUCUCUCUCUCUCUCUCUCUUCUCUCUCUCUCUCUCUACUGGAAUAAAGAUCAGAGAGAAGGGUAAAUUGUAUUUAUAGUCCCUGUACUUCUCACAUAUCAUGCCUCCAUCCUUGUACAAUCUGUCCAACUUUUUAGGGCCUGUUUGUUUUUGUGGAGCUCGUAACGCCGAGAAAGUCGUCGGCGUCAGCGUUUGUUUCGGUGGUAUCUGAAGCUAUGAAAUUGCCCAAACUCCCAUUACUCCCAAUUGUUCAGAGAUCGAUCUUUCGACUUUGAUGGAAUACGGGACGAGUCAAUUUUAGUUUCUAAACUUUCUUAUGUACGUUAGUCUUCUAAUUAUUUUAUCUGUUCAGUGUUAAAUUUUAAUAGUUUUAAUCACUCUUCAAUUUCAAUUUUAGUAAUUCACAGAACAGAUAAAUUUGUUAGAAUUAUUAACGUAUACAAAAAAGUAAAAGUUAAGGAGGUGUUACAGUAAAAAGUAGAGUUGAAAGAUCCAUAUCAACAUUUUUACUUUAAAUUUACUUCAAAUGGGUCAAAAAGUGCACUCAUUCUAUUAGUUAAAAUAUUUUAGACUUUUCAAAAAUAUUAUCUUUAUAUGUUGCUGAACCAUUAACAAUCACGUAUAAUAUUUUUUUAAAACGUAUAAUAUUUUUUAAAAAAUAAGCAUCACCUAGUAAAUAAUAUAUAAUAAGAGAAUUAUAAAAAAAUACAAAGAAGUACUUUUUUAUUGGAUUUAGAUGGAAAGAAUAAGGGAAAAGGGAAAAGAAAAAAAAAAGAAAAAAAAGAAGAAAAAGUUCUUUUCAUAGAAGAAAAAGUACUUUCCAUAGGAGAAGAGAAGAGAAAAUUCUCUCUCUCUCUACUUUUUGGGAGAAAGAAAAAAAAAGAAUGUUAAUUAUUACGAAAGGUCCUUUUCUUUGUCUCCUUUUCUUUUCCAGUCCUUUGAUAUCACAAGAAUUACUUUAGAAAAAGAAAAGGUAGAAAAAAAAAUGAAUGGAGCCCCCUGGACUAUAGGGAAUUUUGAAGUGACCCUCUUAACUUCCCUUUUUUAAUUUAUUGGUGCUUCCUGAACUUUUAAUCUUUUAUUUAAGUUUUUUUAAUAUUUAGUUAAGCUAAAAUUUAUAUAAAUUUAAUAACUUUAUUCGAAUUUGUUGAUGUUGCACCCACGAAGUAUGGAAAGUGCCAAACAUUGGGAACUACCCGGGGAGGAGUUAGGAACAGGAACAAGGAGAAGCGAGAACCACUUAAAUGGUGGAAUCGAUUGUAUUUUUAAUGUUUUGCUAAAAUAAUUAUGCUAAAAUAAUUAGAAUUAUUUCACUUAAUGAAAUUAUUAAUAAACUUUUUGAAAUAUUUUAUUAAAAUUAUUUAAUUUUAAAAGAUCAAAAGUUAAGAAAGUCUCACCGGAAGAAAUAUAAGAUCGAAAAAACUAGCACCGGCCAGAAAGAAACAAGUUUUGUUUGCAAAAGAAGUCAAUACAAGGGGAGUGAUUAAUAGAUUUGUGUAGUCAUCAAAUCCAAUCCAACUUGCACUAGAUUGAGGGUGUUUUUAAAAAUAGACCUAUAUUUGAGGAGGCCUUCAUAAAUUUUCACCCUGCAACAAAAGGAGGAGUGCUAGAUCAACAACCCAACUUGGGUUCUAAUCUUAUAACUCCACGGAUUCAAAACUCUUUCUGUUUUUGUUUUUUUUUUUUUUUUUUUUUNNNNNNNNNNNNNNNNNNNNNUUUUUUUUUUUUUUUUUUUUCUGCUUGUCUUAUUAAUUUUUUUUUUUUAGUAUAAACUUAGCGUUUUCUAAAUUAUUACAAUCAAAUUUUACAACUUUUCAGUAUUAGAGUUAAAGAAGCAAUAAUGUUAUACUUUAAAUAAGUCAGUAGUUAAUGAACUGAUUGAAUCGUCGAAUAUAGUUACAGUAAUUAAAAAAUUUAAGUCAAAAAUUAUAAUAAAUUAAAGCUUGCGGAUCAAAGCGUCGCACACUGCUUGUAGUGUGAGGACCAAAAAUAUAAUGUACCAAAAGAAAAUAAAAAAUUAAAGUAAAAAAAGAAAAAGAGCAGCAGCAGCAGUAGAAGAAAAGUAAAUGCACCCACCAGAAGGAAAGAAAGAAAGAGAGAAAGAAAGAAGUAUUAUAUAUUAAUUAGUAAUAAUAAUAAUAAUAAUAAUAAUAAUAAUACCCCUUCCCUUGUGAUUAUAUAACCCUCUCCACUCCUCCCCUCCUCCCUUUCUUCUCCUUGCAAGUUGCAACCCCACCCCACCUUCCCCUUUCCCCCUCCUUUCCCCCUCCAUCAAAAUUCUACCCUAACCCUAACCCUAACCCUAAACCCUCUCUCUCUCUCUCUCUCUCUCUCUCUUGCGAUUGCGAUAUCGAUUGCGAUUCCGAUGAUGGCCCACGUCGAAAUGGGGCCAGGCGAGGCCGCCGCCGCCGCCGCAGCAGCAGCAGCAGCAGCGGCGGCGCCGGUGAUCAAGCUCUUCGGGGCCGUGAUCCACGAUCGGCCCCCGAAGGAGGAGGAAGAAGACGACGACGACGACGCGGCUUCGGCGUCGGCGGCGGCGGCGGCGGCGGCGGCGCGGCCUCCGCCGCCAUCGUCCUCGGCGGAGUCUGGAGGCGGCGGCGGAGGGGGUGGUGGGGGGGCGGCGGCGGCGGGGGUUUCGGCGCCGCUGCCGUGCCCGCGGUGCCGGAGCCGGGAGACGAAGUUCUGCUACUUCAACAACUACAACGUGAACCAGCCGCGGCACUUCUGCAAGUCCUGCCGCCAGCUAACUGGGACCGCCGGCGGCGCCCCCGCAACGUCCCGUCGGCGCCGGCCGCCGCAAGGCCCGUCCCCUCCCCACCCCUCCCCCGACCGCUGCUUCCCCCGCCCGAUCGCUCCGCGGUUCCGCCGCCCCCCGCUUCGGCUGACCAAGAUUCACGACGAGGACGAGGACGAGGACGAUCAUCAUCAUCAUCAUCAUCAUCAUCAACAACGAUUAGCGAUCGAUUACCAUGUGAGCCUCGCACAUGGAAACCUUUUUUUUUUUCUCUUUUUUUUUUUAACUUCUUAUUUUCUUAUUUCUAUUUGUUUUCUGUGAACAUAUAUGGAGAAAUUUCGCCUCUUUCUUUUUUUUAUUUUUAUAUUAAUUAAUGCUUUUUUUUUCUUUUUCCUAUUUUGCACUACUUCUGCACACAAACAAACAAACAAGAUUAUCGAUCCUGCUAUUUAUUCAUCCCAACAAUCUGAAGAUCGAAGAGAAUGCGUCUCCGUCUCUCGUUUUUAAUGUGUGAAUCAAUUGAAAAGGUCUUUUAACUUCGAUGAGAAUUAUCACCCGAUAAUAACAUUUGAUAUCGACGGUAUGGCCAAUCUCUAUUUUUUAUUUUUACAUGAUAGCUUUUUUUCUUUUUCUUUUUUUACAUGAUAGCGAAUUUGUUUUAACAAAAAGUAAAAUUGUACAAAAAUUUGAAACUAAUGUUAGUAAAUUAACACUUUUUUAUUUUUUUUAAAUUUUUUCUCUCUAAUAUAUUUUUUUUUUUUUUUGUCUCAGUUCAAAGAAUCAGUGCACCACCCCCCGAAAAAAAGAAAAAAAGAAAAAACGUAACGAAUACUUCAAAACAAAAUUGUCGUUUUUUGAGCACGGAAAAUUUGAAGAAAAAGACUCAGAAAAAGAAAAGAGACAAAUUAAAAAGGCAUAUUUUUUUAAGAGACACGUGGCAUUUAUUAAUUUGUCCUUGUGCAGUUGAAAAAGUCAACCCAAUUCGUUGGGUUGUUGCUUUUAGAUUAGGGCGAAAAACAGUGUUUUGUUUUUGGAUUUUUUUUUUUUCCUCGAGCGUUAGCAUUUUUCUUCGGCAUCAAUUUUUUUUUUCUUUGUCCUUUUAUAAUUAGCCGGCGACGUUUUAUAUAUAUAUAUAUAUAUAUAUAUAUAUAAUUGAGUUAGAAUACUCUCAAAAGCAUCUUUCGGGUUUCUAGUCUUUGGAUUUAUUUCUUAAUUACUAAUAACAUUUGGAUUAAACACUAUUCCACCUACCAUCAUCAUCUCACCCUACAUUUCUCCAUCCAACAGCUAAACACUCAAAAGCACCCACCCCUUGGUGCUUUUGAUAGUAUUUUAGCUCAACUAUAUAUAUAUAUAUAUAUAUAUAUAUAUAUAUAGAGAGAGAGAGAGAAAUAUUAGGGUUAUUAUAUUUUUAUGAAUAUUGAACCUUUUGUACUCAUAAGUUUUCGGCCGUUGAAUGAAGGGAUAUAGGGUUAGAAUGAUAGUGAUCCCCGGUUAAGAUGAUAGUGAUCCUUUAUGGUUGAGUGGGUGGUUGGUUGAAAAGUAUGAUCUAAUUGAUGGAAAUGGUCAAAAUGGUAGAUCUAACGGUCGAAAACUCAUGGAUACAAAGAAGGUAAUACUCAUGAGAGUAGAGUAGCCGGAUUAUAUAUAUAUAUAUAGUCCAGCUAGUAUACUAUCGAUAGUACCAAGUUCGUACUAUCGAGUUUUCUGACGUUAGAUCUAUCAUUUGAUUAUUUCCACUUGUUAGUUUAUACUAUUCAACCAACCACCCACUCAACACUAAGGGUGACGUUAGAUAUAUCCUUUAAGCAUUUUCACCCGUUAAAUUAUACUAUUCAACUAACCACCCACUCAACCCUAGAGGUGACGUUAGAUCUAUCCUUUGAUCAUUUCUAUCCGUUACUUUAUACUAUUCAACCAACCACCCACUCAACCCUAGGGGUGACGUUAGAUAUAUCCUUUAAUCAUUUUCACCCGUUAGAUUAUACUAUUCAAUUAACCACCCACUAAACCCUAGAGGCGACGUUAGAUCUAUCCUUUGAUCAUCUCUAGCCUUUAAAUUAUACUAUUCAACCAACUACCUACUCAACCCUAUAGGGGUAACGUUAGAUCAAUUCUUUGAUCAUUUCCACCCAUUAUAUUAUACUAUUCAACCAACCACCCACUCAACCCUAGGGGUGACGUUUGAUCUACCCUUUGACCAUUUCCGCCCGUUAGAUCAUAUUACCCUUUGACCACUCAACCCUAUAGGGAACCACUAUCAUCUUAACUAUACAUCCCUUCAUCCAAUGGCUGAAAACUUAUAAGUACAAAGGUAGAAUUACUAUACUUUUAUAAUUAUAGAACUCUUCGUACUCAUAAGUUGUUUUCGAUGAUGGGGCUUAGAAACUCAUCAUCGAUAGUAUUAAGAGCUUCGUACUAUCGAUAGUAUAGUGGCCGAAUUCUAUAUUAUAUAGAAUUAUGCCACUAUACUAUUUAUAAUACCAAGCGCUUUGUACUACCAAGUUUUCGGCCAUUGGAUAAAAGAAUGUGCGAUUAGGAUGAUAGUGGUCCCUCAGGGUUGAGCGAGUGGUUGAUUGAAUAGUAUGAUCUAACGGACGAAAAUAAUCAAAGGGUGAAUCUAACGGCAGAAAAUUCGAUAAUACUAAGAGCUUUGUACUAUUGAUAGUAUAAUAGCCGAACUCUCUCUCUCUCUCUCUCUCUCUCUCUCUCUCUCUCUCUCUCUCUAUAUAUAUAUAUAUAUAUAUAUAUAUAUAUAUAUAUAUAUAUAUAUAUAUUGUCAAUAUUACCAUAAUUUUAUGGGCUAAAUUACAAAAUGCCCUAGCCAGGCUCGAUUUAUGGCUUAAUUACUCUCUACUAGACUAUAAAAAUGAUAAUAUCUAAUAUACCAUUUAAUAAAACUUUAAAAAUAUAUGAUAUUCCUAAUUGACCAAAUUAUUUUUAUUGAUUUUCAAAAAUUUCUUCUAAUAUCCCCAAAUCCCUAGGGUUUAUUUACCGGAUUUGGGAUUUAGAAGAAUAUUUUGGCAAUUUUAAGAUAAAGGGUAAAUAUGCUAAAGUCCCUAUAAUUUCAGUAUUAUUUUUAUUUGCUAUAUCAUAUUAUUUUUUUCAAAUACAUCAUUGUAUUAUUGUUUUAUCAAUCUUUAUACUGUAUUUUAGAUCCUGUAUUUUUCUUGCCAAUCUUUACAUUUUGUUAACAAAUCUAUUUUAUUUAGACAAAAUCCAACGACUUUAUUAACAGAAGCCGGUUAAAUAAUAGAAAAUAAAAAAAUGAAUUCUAUGCAUAGGGAUGUCAAUGGGUAUGGAUAUCCGAAAUUUUAUCCGAACCCGAAACCGAAUGAAACAGAUAUAUCCAAUGGAUAUGGAUAUAGAUUCGGAUAUGGAUAUCAAAAAUAGAAACCCGACGGAUAUAGAUUCUGAUAUGGAUUUUGAUUGUACCCGACCCGAACCCGAACCCGAAUUUAUUUUGUAUUAUAUAUAUAUAUAUAUAUAUAUAUAAAUUUGAUGUUAAAUUUGAAUUUGUAUUUUAAAAAUUCAGGUUUAAUAUAAUAAUAUUUUGAAAUAUUGAAAAAAGAAAUAAUUAUUUCGGGUUCAAAUUUUCGGGUUCGGGUUCCGGUUCGGGUUUCGGAUUUUUGGUCGGGUUCGGGUUUGGAUAUGGAUUUUUAAAAUCCGUCGGGUUCGGGUUCGGAUUCGGGUCUUGGGUUUGGAGUCGGGUUCGGGUUCGGAUUUUUAAAAAUCCGCCCCGAAUCCGACCCGUUGACAUUUCUAUAUAGACUCAUGUAAAGCUUCUAUCAAAUUAUUUUUAAUAUAUUUUAUUCUUUUUUAUAUCAAAAGAAUAUAUAACAUACAGUAUAGUAUAAUAUAAUUAAGCUAUUACCAUGCACUAAAAAUUGCACUGUUAUUGUAGUAUACUAUAUUAUUGUAUCAAACAGACUUAAAAUUUUAGAAUAAUUAUUGAAUUUUAGAAUAAUUUGUAAUGUUACAAAUGGAUAACAAAUUAGAUAAAUCAUAUUUCCUACUUUACCAUGCAUUACUAUGAAAAUGAAUGAUUUAUUAAACAAUUAUAUUUAAUUUACAUGAUUCUAAUGCAUGCAUUAAAUGCAACUAACUUUAUCUGCAGAGAGAGAGGGAUGGGGGACCCCAAAAAAAAACAAAAUCCCUAACCCCAGUUUCAUUUGUCCAUGCACUGUUUUAUACUUCGCUAUUAUCUCAAAUAGAUUCGGAAUUUUUGGAAUAAUUAACAAAUUUGAAAUGAGUUGGCACAUCACUUUAUUCUACGCUAUCAACAUUCAUCUAAUUCUCAAUGUUAAAAAUGGAUAACAACUUAGAUUAAAAAAUAUAUAUUAAAAUUGAUAGUCUAUUGAAUAAUGUUAUCUAAUUAUGUAAUUCUAUUGCAUUGAAUAUAACUAACUCUACCUGGGGGCACUAGAAAGGGCCAUGGUCCCCCCCUAAAUUUUGUAACUUAGCACUCUCAUAAUAAUUUGCAUCAAUUUUUUAAAAAAAAUAAUUAUAUGUGUAGUUAUUAAUUUCUUAUUUUAUAUAUAUAUAUAUAUAUAUAUAUAUAUAUAUAUAUAUAUAUAUAUAUAUAUAUAUAUAUAUAUAUAUAUAUAUAUAUAUAUAUAUAUGGAGUAGGUCUUACGUGCUAUUAGUAGUACGGAGCCCUCCGUGCUCCUAAGCCGUUUUCGAUGAUAGAGCUUCCGAAUCGACGAUCGGCUCCGUUAGGCUUGAUCUAGUAUAUUUGAAGUAUCUAAAAAAUAAAUUUUGCGAUUUUUUGAUAUCAUUUACCUAGCGAUCGAAAGGGUUCAAAAUUAACAAUUUUUAACGGUUGAUGUAUAUCGUUUGCAAGUUUAACGGUGUAAAGUAUUCAAAUCAGAUCAAAUUUUGAUAGAAAAUUCUUUAUACUAUUUACUGCGAUAUCAACAUCUCUGAUCGAAAAUUUUAGUGUUAUAUCACCACUUUUUGUGAUAUUUUUAUUUUCAGCCGUUGAUUUUGAACCCUUCCGAUCGCGAGGUGAAUGAUAUUGAAAAAUCGCAAAAUUUAUUUUCUACAUACUUCAAAUACGCUAGAUCAAGUCUAACGGAGCCGAUCGUCGAUUCGGAAACUCCAUCAUCGAAAACGGCUUAGGAGCACGGAGGCCUCUGUGCUCCGAAUAGCACACAAUACCUACGCUAUAUAUAUAUGUAUAUAUAAUAAUCAUCAUUGUAAGUUUGUCUUUGACAAUCAUUCUGAAAUUUUUAGACAUAUUUAAGACAAUAGCAAAAUAUAGGAGGGAAAUUGACACAACUUUUAGUAUAGAAAGUAAUUGAGAUGAGCUAAAAUGCAUGUGGCCUUUUGUAAUGUAGCCUAAUUUUAUGGAUAAAUUUUUUUCCAGUAGUACCUGAAAUUUCAGCCAAGUUUCACUUUGAUUCUCAAACUUUCAAGCGCGACUCGCUGAUCCCUACACUUGUGAAAGAGUUUCAGUUUAGUCGGGGAUAAAUUAUUAUCUAUGUAUUUAUCGACUACUUUUUUCAUUAUAUAUUUCAACCCUAUCAUCCAUUGAGUCACAAUGUUUCCUUUUAAAACAAAAAUAAUUACUGUCCAAAUGAAUAGAUGAACUAAUAAGUUCAAGCAAGAGUUUGUAGUCUAAAAUAAGGGCUAAAAUAGACACUGACAAAAGUUUAGAGACUAAAUUAUAUAACAAGUUUAGGAUUUGGAAUAUCUAAAUCAAAAGGUUUAAGGGCCAAAAUGAAACGCGACUUAAAGUUGAAGGACUAGACGUGCAAUUUAUGCGUAAGCUAGAGAAAGAGAAAUGCUAUCACUGCCAAUCUAUGAAAAUAGCUUAUAUACUCCUGCAAACUUUAAUUAAAGGUACAAAUUUGACCAUCAAAACUUGUAAAAUCGUGUACAAAUGAUCCUUCUUCUUCUUCUUCUUUUUUAACUAACAUGCUUUUGGAAUUCUCAAUAGUGAUUUUAUGCAAUUCGAAGAACUUUAAAACCAACAAUAACUAGGAUAUAUAUAUAUAUAUAUAUAUAUAUAUAUAUAUAUAUAUAGAGUAGGCCUAGAAUACUUUUACAAGUAUCACCCAAGUGAUACUUGUGUGUUUUUAGCCAUUGGAUCUACUUUUUGAUUACUAAUAGCCUUUGGAUCAAACACUAUUCCACCUACCACCACCUACUUUAGGGUUAGAAACCUACAAACAUCUUCAAAUGAAAACAGAAUUAAAUUAAAAAAAAAAAAGCUUUUUGAGUGCAUAUGGUUUUAUACAGCUUUAAAACACACAAUUUAUUUUUUCUAUUUUAAGAUGUAAAGGAACGAUAAAAAUUGAGGCUUUGUUCAACCUACUCUCCACUCGCCAUGGUUAAUUAUCAAAAUUGGAAGAGAAAAAUGCAUUUCCUUACAUUUUGUAGUCUUACAAAAUUAUGUGCACAAAUCUGCUCAAAAUGACUGGAAUAUUUAAUAGAGUUUAAUAAAUGUAAUUGUCAAAAUUCAAAGUUCAGGAGCCUAUUUGCAAAAGAGCUAAAGUUCAGGGGGUCUCAGUAUAUUUACCCUAAUGAAAACUCAGAAAUUGCCAUUAGUACUGGUAUUCUAAUUCAAUAGAAUUUCUCUAUGUCAAUUGUUAUAUAGCAUCCAUAAUCAACUUAUCUCGUAUAAAAUAUUCUCACUUAACUGGAAAUCAAGAAUUCGAAAAGCGGAGAUCACCCGGACUUUUCGAGAUUUAUCGAUUCUACCUCAUGAGUUCUCUCUCCAAAGUGAUCCAAAAUUAUAAACCUGUGAAUGUAUAACAUAACUUCAGAUCAUAAACUGCCGAAAAAUUCAAAAUAAAUGUGCCAUAUUAAGUGCGGGAGCAGAUCUCACCUUUUAUAUACAUAAAAAGGCUGUUCAUAAUGCAAGAUUGUUGCUUUGAUAAAGGGUGGUGUUCAUACUCGUGGAUUCUCGACUACAAAUAGGGCAUCCUGAAUAGCUUGGACGAAGGUGGCGAUCUUGUAAGUGAAGAAGCCGACAAGCAUUGGUAUCAGCUCCAGGUGCAUGAAGCCGUAAUCUGGAACUAGAAUCCUGGCAUGGGAAGAGAGUAGACAGAGGAAAUAAGAAGCAUCAAAUAUUCGCUUAAAAGUACAAUGAAAUAAUAUCCUAGUGCAAAUUCAGCACUGAUUCAAUUGCGCACAAAAAAGGGUAAAAAUAUACAGCUACAACUCCAACUGCAGGUUAUUUCUGAUAUAGGUCCGGAGCUUCUUUAGCUUUAUUUGAACUCCAAAGUAAUGUUAGUAUGCUAUCAAUCCACCUAUAGGUCAUUUUAAUAUCCUAAAGUAAUGCAUCAUUUGAUCAACUUGCAAAGGUACAGUCAAAAGAGUUGCAUGAUAUUCCACAAGUUACAUCAGAUUCUACGAUAUUGAGAACAGAUUUCAAUAACGGGCACGGAAUAGUAAUUACCAAAAUAUAAAUAUAUGUUGCGUACUUAAAUUCAAAUCAUGAUAGCACAAACCUCUGUUGUGUUUGGUGGGGUGGUGGGUAUAUCUGCUUGUAUCCCCACUUCAUCCCCCACCUAAACAGUCUUAAAAGGAAUUUUCCCAAAUCAGGUAAUACAUUAGUUGCGGGACCAAAUAAAAUAUAGAAAAAACAAAACUGAUGUUAAGGGAAGUAGAUCGAAAUCACCUAUAAUCAUAAUCUCAAAUCAUUAGUUCUGUGGGUGUUCAUAUAUGUUUUGCCUAAAUAAUCCCUCAAACCAAGUUUUCCAAGAGUUGAGUACACGCAACAAGCAUAUCUAUAAAAUAUUUAAGGUGGGUACUUACUCAUUCCACCUAUUAUACAUCAUGACCAGAGCAACCGGAACUAGCAGUCUUGGUUGUCCAAUAGCACCCCUGCAGUUUUCAGUGGACAUAAAUUUUCAACCUUCAUAAACAUAAAUUCAAUCUAAAUCAAGUACGCUAUGACUAAACCCCUAACUUUUAUGUUAUUACAUGUGAACAUGCAAUACAUUAACUAUUGAGCAUCUACAAACUGGUAGUACAUGCUCAAGAGAAAGCCAACCACAUUACGCUUAUGUGGCCCUUCUUUGUGUCCACUACGCAGAGAACUUUUUGAGACACUUUUGCAAAAGUCUGUUGUACAUUCAUAUCUCUCGAUGUCUACUGUAUCUGGAUCUUCUUAGCAUUUGCAUUACACAUAAUAUUUUUUUCUGUGAAAUGUACAGAGACCCCCUGAACUUAAGCUCUUUUGCAAAUAGGCGUCUGAACUUUCAAUUUUGGCAAUUACAACCCCUAAACUUUAUAAAAUAGUUCAAUAGGACCCUCCCCUCAACUUAAAGUUAUUAAUUACACAAUUAUUGUUCUAUCUUCCCCCUUUCUUUGCCUACCAUCCAAAACCCACAAUGUUGCGCUCAUUUUGGUCGCAUGUAUUACAUAUAGUUUUAUAAAGCUUUAAAACACAGACGAAUUUAUUUUUUAUAUUUUAACAUGCAAAAAAAGUGAAAAAAAAUUGAAGUAUGGUUCAACCUAUUCUACACUUGUCAUGUUAAUUAUCAAAAUUGGAAAAGAAAAAAUAGAUUUCUUUAUAUUUUGAAGUCUUAUAGGAUUAUAUGCAUGACAUCCGAUCAAAACGUUGUCUACCACCCAAAAACAAAAAUGUUGCGCUCAUUUUGGUCGUAUGUAUUGCAUAUAGUUUUAUAAAUAAAACGCAAACAAAUUUAUUUUAUAGUUUUAUAAAUAAAACACAAACAAAUUUAUUUUUUAUAUUUUAACAUGUAAGGAAAACAAAAAAAAAUUGAAGUAUGGUUCAACCUACCUAUUCUUCACUUGUCAUCCUUAAUUAUCAAAAUCGGAAAAGAAAAAAUAGAUUUAUUGAUAUUCUGAAGUCUUACAGGAUUAUGUGCAUGACAUCCAACCAAAGCGGUUGUGUACUUUAGUAAAUUCACUGGAGGAGAGGGGCCUAUUGAACUAUUUGAUAAAGUUUAGAAGAUUUAAUAGCCAAAAUUGAAAGUUCAGGCACCUACAUGCAAAAGCUAUAUUUCCAGUGGUCUCUGUACAUUUACCCUAUUUCUUUUGUAGGAGUUACUAAAUGUAGAAAUUUGGCUUCAAAGGAACCUAGGACGAAAAUCUUUUAUGAAUGGAAAAUCAUCUCUAGAAGUUCCAGCUUCAUAAGGUAAAUCAAAGAUAAGGAGAAAGCCUCAUAAUAGCAUUCUUUAUCUGAAAAUCAGAGCAAUUAAGAUGAAUAAUUCAUGAAGAUCUAUAAAGUUAACUAGAUAGCAAAAAUCUGAGUAACUAUCACGAGAUGAAAGGUACAUCAAACAGAUUUAUUCUGCCACUAGUUAAAAAUAGGGUGCACAUACUUGACUAGUCCUUUAGCUCCAUCUGCCAUGGAAUCAAUGCUAUUGCCCAGCAUACGCAUAUACACUAGGGAACCAACCAAACCAGCACCAAAGCUGAAAAGAGUACAGAUCAGAUGAUAUUAAGAAAGAGAAGGGGAGGUGGCAAAGAGAUUGUGCUAAUUACAUCAUUUAACAUUACAGGUUCUAUAUUCCAGUAUAGCAAUGGUAUUUUACAAUUCUUGGCAGCCAGUAUAUUAUUUAGUUACAUGAAAACAGCAGCUUGUUAUUAGUUCCUAGAAAAGGUCAGAAUACUAUGAAUAAUGGAACAACUUAGAUUGCUUAUAGACCUUUUGGUCAAAUGAUUUGUCAAGUAUUUAAAUAAAUAAGCAAAUCAUUCAUUGAAUUUAUGAAAGACAUCAUUAGUUUGCACAAUCUCGUUUCCAAUAUGUAUACAUGCGAUGUUUGCUUCCCUUUAUUACCAUUUCAUGCUACUUGCACUGAGUUCUCUGAAACUAAAUCAUAUUUUUGCCAACUUCGGUUCAUUCUUUGGAUCUACAAUUUGUCCUUCGAAGUAGCAUAAUUUAAUACAAAGCCAUCUAUGCAUUUUUGCUUCGAAAACAAGACGCUAUUUUCUACAUAACUACUAAUUGUCAUAAGUUUUAAUCAGUUGACGAACUAGGCAUUCAACUUUAACCAGAAUGAAUCCCAAAAGGCUUGAGAUAGGAUAAGGAUUAUGUAAUGUGCUAACUAUUAUACAACUAUACCAAAUAGAUUUGUUAAAGAAAGUAAAUUACGCAAGCCUCUGUUUGUUCAACAGAAAAUAUAGCACAAUACUCAAAGUUGUGCUCUUCAGUGUCAGGCUGUCAGCUCAAACAAAGUAAUAAUAAAAGCAUGUUUCUACUCCAAAAACAACUUAAACAUCAUGGAAAAUUAGAAUUCAAAAGUUGCUAAUUUUGUUUCCAAGGGAUUAAACAAGUUCCAAAUAUCUACAAAAGGAAAACGCUUAAUCAACUUAAUGCUAUAUGAUGCAAUAGAAAAAGUCAUUACUCAUAAAUGUGGUUUAUUUAAAGGAUAUACAUGCUCAAGGCUCGGAAGAUCAGCCUGAUCAGAAGACGACAAGUGCGGACGACAUUAAACAUGAUGCUGCUGAACAGUAUUAAUCAUAAAAAGUAAAGAAAUCUCUUAGCAUAUUAUAUGAUGGGGAGAUGAAGCUCCUCUCACAUAAUUAUGUAAGAAAACAACAACAUCAAUUGUUACAAAGAGCUCAAUGUUGAUAACUUCUAUGAUCUCCACAAACUAGAAAUAUACAUCAACUUCACAAGAAAAAUGAACGUGUUUUGUUAGUUUCUUAGCACUUUUGGAUCAUGUUAAGUAGUCAUGUUUCUUGUUGUUUCCUAUAUGUUAAAUGUUAUUAAAUAAUUAUUGUCAUCGUGUUUGAGGGAUGACAGAAUUUGGAAACUCUUUUGUAGCUAACUAUUACAAAUACAAAAGACAUUUAUAUCCUAUUUCUUCAAACGCUUUUCCCUGUGAUUACAUGUACAAGAAGGAUGUAAACUAAAGAGUGUCUUUCGGAGUAUAAUAGUCGUAAAUCUAAAAUAUGAACAAUAGGACACCAAUUAUAAGAUGUAAAAGCCAUGUCUUGGAACAAAACAAAACAUUCUCAAGCCUUCUUCUGACUAACAUAUUAAGUCGUCCAAAAGGAAUGCUUUGUAUAGCUGCAAUCUGACAGUCAAGAAAGGUCUGAGGAAAGAUUUGAUCAACAAGAAAUGGAUUUCCAAAUCUUUUAGUUGCUAUAUUGGCCUUUUAGCACCUGCAGUUACAUUAAAGUGUUUUGGGUUCUAAAUAGAGAACUCUAUAUCCCAAGCUUACGCUAUGCCUUGCAAGUCACAAUUUAUCCUAAAGCUCCAAAUUCACCAUAUCUAUAGAUCACAAUAGAAUGCUUUGAAUGAUAACUAUUCUCCUGGCUCUUGAAAUAAAUGUCAUUUAUAAUACCUCAUUAGCAACAGGUAACAGAUUGAUAUUUCACAUUUAAUUAUGACAAAAGUAUAUACCGGCGAAUCAGGAUUACAAGAUUAUGGCAACAACUGCAGCAUACCUAACAGCGAUUUCGGGGGAGUAGGAAACAUACGCUGAGACAACACCAACACCACCAAUACCCAGGGUGAGGAUUUGUAGCUUCUGCUUCAGCUGUAAAAUUAUUACUGUUAUUGACAACUGCUUUACGCUUAAGGAACGAUUUAGAUUUGAUUAAUUUUUCGAUAGUAUAUAUUUAUAAGCUAUCAUAAAGAUGAUUGAAAAUCUGGAAAAUAAAGUUGAUUCAGACAACAUCUAACAGAGAACAGACCUUAAAAUAUUGCUCUCUUGACUGAGCUUCCAACACUUUGGGGUCCCCCCGCUCCCUCCUCGAUUCCCUUAGUAGGACAUCCUAAUUAAGAAAAAUAAACACGAAAGUUAUAUUCAUUGACUUCUAUCAAAAAAUUAAUGAAGUAAAAGAACUUUGUAUAUUACCAUGAUACAUAAGGUUAUCUUUCUUUCUUCCUUUUUUCGGGUUUUUUUUUUUCUGAAAUGAACAGUGAUACCAUGAUUCCCUCAGGAAUGCAUAAGGUGUCUAUAUAUUCAAACUCAUUUCCAUCAGAUUCACAAAUCAGGUACAAACUGUUAGACACAGAAUUUGUGUAAACAAGAUGAACACAAACAUGCUAAGUACAAGGUCAGCUCAUUUAUAAUCAAGACAAGCUUGAGUCAGACUCGAGCUGCUCACAAACAGCUCAUUAAAUGUUUGCCUCAAGAAUGAGAUCACUUUUUUUUUAUUUAUGUAGCUUUUAUCAUACAUAUAUUGCUAAACUGAAUUCAUCAUUUAGAAUUACAUUUGUAUAACAUUAAACAACAUACCGCAUGAGUAAUCAUAAACUAAGAAAUUUCUUUCAUACCAUUUAUAUAUGUAAUGUAUUAUAUAACUUUUAUCUCUUUAAGUUUUUCCAAGAUUAAGUAGAGCCAAGCAUGAGCAAGAUAAUCUAAGCUCAAGCUUCCCCCAUUUAAGAUCCAAUUUAGGGAGACCUUGUCAAGCUAAGUUUCAAGACAAACACGAGCUGUUUGUAGGCAGCAAACUGAAUUAACAACCCUAAUCAUGAGGCAACGAAACAUUAACUCGCUUCCUUAAAAGUUCUUAAACAGCACAAACUCCUUUAAGGCAGAACUGUUGAAAAGAUUUAUGGUAUGGCAAUCUGUUGUGAGACCACUUCUAAGGAUUUGAAAAUCCUCAGUAUAUAACAAAUCUGACAGUUGCAAAGCAAAGAAGCAUACGCAUAAAAAGCAAUCUACACUAUCCUCUUUAGUACAAUAUGGAAGGACAUAAAUAAUGAGAGCCUCAACUAGGUAAUUAUUAAGAAAGAUUCAAGGACAAUUAGUGAUCAGCAAAAUGAACAAGCACAUGCAACAUAAAAUGGUAGAACAAUUAGGAAAAAAAAAAUUGCAACUGCCGUAACAAAAUAUUCUGCUAAACUAAGGAUACGCUUGAUAAGGAAAAGAGAAAUGAAAACGACAUUUCAGGGAUGGUUUCAACUUACGCUACCACCAGUGGCUGCCUUAUUUGCCCUGUCCCAUUUCGCCUGUUCCCUUCUUGUAGGGACCAAUCUCCAUCUUGGUUUAGCGGCACUACUCUGAAUCAAAAAUGCAAUUAUGUAGCAUUGGCCACAACAUAAUUCAAUAAAAAAGAAAACUGCAACAAAAGCAAUUUCGAGCAAAUAUCUCAAUUUUACAGUCAACGACAUAAAGAACUUACUUCUGCAGCAGAAAGCCCAAGCCGUGCAGCCUCCACCUGCUGUUCCAACACCGGCUUGGACGGCGGUCUCAGUUCUUUACUCAAAUCAAUCUCCACGCUGUGAGAUCUCUUCCAAAUAAGUAAAUAAACAAAGAACCAAAAUAACUCCUUAUUAGCAGUAAAAGAGCAAACAAUGGGAAGAUAAAAGAACCUGUUGAGGCUCAUGGCUCGAUUGAGGCUAAGAAACCCCGAGUCCUCCUCCUUCUGACCAAAUUAACCAUCGAAUUAGAAAGUACAAAUUCUUGUAAGACUAUAGAAAACACUAAAAGAGAUUAUCAUACUGUACGAUGUUGAACUCCAAGAGUAUUUUCACGUUCUACAUUCUACUCCUUUUUGGGUCAACCUCUACAUUGAGCAUAAGUUUCUACAACAAUUCGUACGCCCUAUUUACAGAUGAUAGAAUAUUAAACAGAACUAAUCGUUUUCAUUAUUUAUAGUAUCCCUGAUCACUUGUAGACUUACAAAAAACUAGCUUUGAUAAGUAACCAGCCGUAAGGUCUCUUUAACUGAGGGAAAAUGAUAAAGAAAACAGCAGCAUUAAGCGAGCAUAAAGAGUUUGAAAUUCACAAAUUUCACAAUGAGUACAACUCUCUUCUCAGCUUUGCUACCAAGAUUAAUCAUAGAGAGUUCAAAAUCUCAAAGUUAUAUAUACCAAAUUAAGGAGUUUGUAAACUUGUCCAAUUAGCAGAAUAAAAUGCACGAUUUUUGUUGUCCACGAAUACAAUGACUAAACCACCUAAACGAAAACUCAAGUUACUGCGAACCAUCCCCAGUUCCAGCUAUAAUUUGUUCGCAGAGUGUAGGAACUCCCGUAAAGUUUAAAUUUCAUUGGAGAGUUUUUGUACAAAUAAAAGCACAAUGUCAACAACAUAAACAUCCCUCCCUACUGCACGGCACACUACUUUUGUUGAAAGCGCAGUCCUAGAAGUGCUAUUUGCAAGAGCAUCAUACUAAACUAUUUUCCUAAUAACUUUCCCUAUAGCAAAACUAGAAGUUCUACUUUUGGGCCUCAAAAUCACUUCUCCGCCACUUCUUGCUACAGCAAAAAGCUUCAAACUCUCAGACUUUUCCGAUUGUCAAACGCUCUUUUACAUACGACUACUGCGUAGUUUGGAAUUAUGGUAUCUAAAAGCACCAACUUUCAUUCUUGCAAAGGUCCAAAAAGCUGGAAGAGCACUGUAUUAAAAUGUUUGCCCCAGUAACUUCUCUCUGUGGUAGAAUCAGAAGCCUAGCCUCAGAACCGCAUCCCAGCUGCUUCUUGCUACAGCCAAAAGCUCUAGACUUUUACGAUUGUCGUUCGCGCUGCUACGCAUGACUACUACAAGUUUAUUAAAAUAUUUCCCCCAAUAAGACUCUUUCUGAUUGUCAAGGGCUCGCUCUAUUAUGUAUGUGAAUGUAGCUGGAAGCAGAAGCAGAAGAAGAAGCAGAAGAAGAAGAGGAAGAAGCGGGGAGUACCGCGAGGUGAGGAGGGUUAGGGUUGGGAGGGUCGUCGCGGAGGAGGCGGCGCAUGCGGGAGAGGAACUCCUUGUUCCAGAUGAAGUCGUCGGUGGCGGUGACGGGGUCCUCGUCGCCGCGGCCGCCCCAGUACUUGCGGAGCUUCGUGGUGGUGGGGGGGCCCCCGUACUCGCCCGGGGCCACCCCCGUCGACCACUUGAGCGCCUUCCCCCGCGGGAGCACCACGCGCGUCCUCCGCACCGGCGGCGCCGCCCCCGCGCCCGCGCCCGCGCCGUCUCCGGCGGAGGAGGAGGAGUCCGCGCGCGCGGGGACGCGGCGGGCUCCGGCGGAGGCGGCGGCGGCGCUUACCAAGGCCAUCGGCUGCGCGACGGCGACGGCGACGGCGACGGCGACGGCGCACCGCCGAGGUGGGGAUCGGGGUAUGGAAAAUAUCUACUGAGAGCGGAGAGAGAGAGAGAGAGAGAGAGAGAGAGAGAGAGAGGGGCGCUAAAAUGUAGGAUGGAAGCAAGAUCGAAGUGUCUCGUCUCAGCUCCACUCGCUCCUUCGCCUUCGAUCACUUCAAAUUUUAUUUCUUUACUUUUUUAUUUAUUUAUUUUUAUCAAUGCUACGUAUACAUUUUUUUUUUUCGGACUUUUUUAUAAAAUGACCCUAAAAAAUUUUAAAAUUUGGAAAAUAACUUUAUCAAAAUUUUAUUUAAAAAAAUAAUCGUUCUUUCGCCACGUAGGCGCCACGUCGAAAUUUUACUAUAAAGACGGUUAAUGAUUCACCACUUUCACAUAUAUAUAAUGAAAGCCGUGAAUCAUUCACCGCCUUUAUAAUAUAUAUAUAUAGACGGUGAAUGAUUCACCGCCUUUAUAGUAAAAAUCCUACGUGGCGAAAAGAUGGUUAGUUUUUCAAAUAAAAUUCACAGAUAAAACGGUGAAUCGAUUCAUUCACCGUCUUCACAUAUAUAUAUAUAAUGAAGGCGAUGAAUGAAUCACAUAUAUAUUAUGAAAACGGUGAANAUAUAUAUAUGAAAGCAGUGAAUGAUUUACCGUCUUUAGUGCAAAAUAUUUCAAAUUAAUUAAAAUUUGUCUAAGUUCUGAAGUGCAACACAGAUAAAACGGUGAAUCGAUUCAUUCACCGUCUUCACAUAUAUAUAUAUAAUGAAGGCGAUGAAUGAAUCACAUAUAUAUUAUGAAAACGGUGAAUCAUUCACCACCUUCAUUAUAUAUAUGUGAAGGCGGUGAAUCAUUCACCGUCUUUAUAGUAAAAUUCCGACGUAAUGCCCAUGUGGGGAAAGAAGAGUUGGUUUUUUAAAUAAAAUUUUGACAGAAUUGUUUUGACAAUUUUGAAUUUUUAGAGGAUAAUUUUAUAAAAAAGCUCCUUUUUUCCCGUCGUAUGAUAUACACUACAUCAACUCUAACGUGAAAAUUUUUUUAGGGUAAAUUUUAAAUACCAUUCUAUAAUUUUGUAUUUUCUCACUUUAUUACUCUAUGAUUUGAACUAUAUCAAGUUAGUAUCCUGUGGUUUCAUUUUUAUCUUUUCGUCAGCUUUUUCGUUGAUAUUUCGUUAAAUUAUAUAUAUAAAAUUUUAGAUACCCCACCUAAUUUUAUCGAUAUUCACUUUAGACGCUUUAGUUUUAACUUUAUCACUAAUUUAAUAAAAAAAAUUAGUAAAAUAAAUAAUAAAAAGAAAAAAAAUGAAACCACAUGGUACUAAAUUAAUACACUUUAAACCGCAAGGCCUUAAAGUGAGAAAGUGUAAAACCACAGGGUGGUAUUUGAAGUUUUUCCUUUUUUUUUUUUUUGUAUUUGCAUAGAUAUGACUAGUAAAAAUUAUACUAUCCUAAAUAAAAAAGAUGGGAUGUAUAUUAUACGCCUUUUUUGGAGUUUACGAAUAGCUUUUAUUUUUUGGUAUAAUUGAACCAUUUGUUUCCCAUAUUUUAAAAUAUUUUAUUUUUGUUUUUCAACCUAUUUUGUUUUAAUCAAAUCUCCAAUUUUUUAAAUUUAUUACAGUAAAAUUUCAGCUGCUAAAAUAGCCGUUUAAGUUUGAUAAAAUUUACAUUAUUAGGUUAGCUCUAGUUCGCCACCCAGCACCAGCAGCUUUUUUACAAUUUGAAGACCAAUGGUGCAAUUAAAAUUUAAUUUAAAAUUAAAAGUUUGAAUUUGAAUUUAAAAUUAUAAUUUUGAUUUAAAUAAAUUAGAAAUUAGAAUUAGGAUUCAGAUUAUUAGUUUGACUUUUAAAUUGAAUUUGGAAUUUGAUUUCAAAUUUUAAAAUUAAUUUUGAUAUUCGAAAUCAAUAUUGACUCUAAAUUUGAAUUCAAACACAAAAUCUAAACUUAAAUUUACAAUUUAAACUGAAAUUUUAAAUCUAAGUUUGAAUUUACAAUCAAGUGUAAAAUCUAAAUUUAAAUUUACAAUUUGAACCCAAAAUCACAUUACGUUUGAAAUUUAAAUCCAAAAAGGAUUUAAAUAUAAAAUUCAAAUACAAUAUCAUAAUAAAAUUAAAAUUUAAAAUUUACUUCAAAAUAUAAAGUAAAUUUAAAAUUUUAAUUUAAAAAUAUGAAUUUAAAUUUAAAUUUAGAUUUAAAUUUAAAUAAUAUAAUUAACCGGCAUUGCAAGUGCUUAGCUGACACUGAUAUGACACUGCCAUAACGCAUUCUCUCAAAAUUAACAUAUAUUUUAAUGACUUGCACUUAAUUACAAUAAAACGAAAAAGGUUGAAAACUUCAUUGUAUAUUUUUUUUUUUUAAAAAAAAAAACUCUUGAGGCAAGUUUUUUAAAAAAAUUGGAAAAAGGGGGGAGACCAACACUGCUAUUAACUCUUCUUCUUUUUUUUUUUGUGCGAAUUGCACUGUUGAUCCUUUUAGUGUACAUCUUCUGUACUUUCAAAAGUACUGAGGCUUCUGUAUUUAUGAAUAGUUUUUUAUAAUAGGAGAUUUAAUUCCACGAUCGGCUAUAUAAUCUACGUUAUUGAAACUAUUUAGAAAUCAAAUUUCAUAAUUUAUCGACAUCAUUUAUCAAGUGAUCAAAAAGUCUUAAAAAUGACUAUUUUAACGAUUGAUGUGGCAUGUUUUUAAUUUCAACGGUUUAAAUAAUCCAAAUUGUAUGAAAAUUUAAUAAAAAAUUCUACUUAAUAUCAAUAAUAAGAUCAAUACUUCUGAGUUGAAAUUUGAGUUUUUUAUCAUUAUCUUUUAUGAUAUUUUUAUUUUCAGCCGUUCAUUUUGCGAUUACUCAGUCACUAGGCAAUGAAAUUAUGAAAUUUGAUUUCUAAAUAGUUCCAAUAGCGUAAAUCAUGUCUAAUAGAACUGAUCGCCGAAUCGGAUGUCCCAGAAUCGACAAUAAUUUAUAAACAUAAAGACUUUCAUACUUUCGAAAGUAUAGGAGCCUAACUCUCUAAUUUACUAUAAUUUUGGAGCCUAGCUCUCUAAAAUAAGUGAACCAAAUAUGUCCUAAUUUUUCGCUAAACUUUAGUUCAACGAAAAUUAUUUUUAAUUGAAAAAUUAUUUAUGGGCAAACAAAUAGGAAUGGUAAGGUAAAAUUUUGUUCAUUGGGCUACAAUCUUAACCCAAAAACAGGUUCAAAAUCUCAUUAAGCCAAGGCCCGAUUAAGCCCGAUUAAGUAUAUUCGAACCUAAAACCCGAACCCGACCCGAGAAUGAUCACCCCCCAUAGGUAAAACAUUGGCUCCCCAUAAAAUUAAAUUUAUAAUUUAAAUUCAAAACAUAAAAUUAAAUAUUAAAAAAUCACCAAAGUAUUGAAAUGAUAACGCAAAAUUUUAAGUAUAUAUUUUUUUAAAAAAAAUUAAAAUUUAAAAUUGAGUGGACAAUUCAAAAUAUAAAACUAAUUUUUGAUUUGAUUCAAAUUCAAACUUACAACUAGAUUCAAAUUUAAAUUUAAAUUUUAGAUUAAAUUCGAAAAACUUGAUUAAAUUUAUAUUUUAAUUUAAUUUCUAGAUCAAAAUCUAGAAUUCUAAGUUUAAAUUUAUAUUUUAAUUAAAAAAAUUAAAGUCAAAAAGUUAAAUUUUAUUUUAAAUAAAAAUUUAAAAUGUAACUGAGAUAUUUUUAUAAACUGUAUUGUUUCCGCCUGAAUUCAACUUCCAGUCUAGCCUUUUAAGCCGGAUUGAAAAAAAGAGUGAUUGGGGGAUUCCUAUUUAUCCGGAAAUUGGAAUCGAAAUAAAACUCUCAUAUACUAAACACCUACAAACAGAUUAGGUUAUUCCGAUUUCGAUUCUUGGGUUAAAAAGGAGUGAACCAAGCACACCCUGAAUGUUAAUCUAACGGCCUUACCGGCUUGAACAGAGUCUUUAUCGAAGUACUAUUUAAAUAGAGUUGUUUAAAAAAAUAAAAAUAUUUUUUAGUAAAUAAAAAUAACUAUCAUUUUUUUGGAUCUGACUAUCAAAUCUUUAAAAAAAAAAUCUAAUUUUGCUAUCUAAGCUUUUAACUCAUUUGAUUUGAGCCAUAUAGUAACUUUUAACUUCAAAUUUUGAAUGUAUUUUUUUUUCUCAUUUAAUUAAUAUACUUUAUUCCAAUUAGGUAACUAUAAAUUUAUAAAGCACAAAAUUAGUUUAAAUUUUGUAUCAGAAGAGCCAUAGAAUCACUGAGUCAAAUAAAUUAAAAGAUUGAGUAUAAAAAAAUCAAAAUUUUGAAAUAUUUGAAUGGUCCAAUCAAAAUGAUCUAUAGUACGGAUUAAUUUUAUAUAUUUUUAUUGUUUUAAUUUAAUAAUAUACUUGAGGACAUAUAUUUUUCUUUUUUAUCCAAAAGUGUGAGCCCUAUUUUGGAGCUCUAAAAUUUAUUUUUGCUUUUCAACAAACACUAAGUAAAUACUAAACAUAUUUGGUUGAUCUUGUCAAAUUAAUAUAAUAUAUUGUUUACAUUUCUAGAAGAAGCGUUACGAGGCUGUUUGGUCUAAAUUCUGAAAAAGUGAUUUUUACAGUGAAAAAUUGAUUUUGAUAAAAAAAUAUAAAUUGUUUGGCUGAGUUUAGCAAGAAAGUAAUUUUCUUUAACUGAUUUUAUAAAGUUAUUUGGCAAAAUUAUUUUGUUGUUCACAAAUAAUACAUUUUUUUAACUGAAUUUCAAUUUAAAAUGUAACUUCAAAAUUUGAUAAUGGAAAGUGAUCAUUUGUCCAUGGAAACUCAAAAUUUGUUCUCAUAAAGUGAUUUUUCAAGUUAAAAAUGACUAUCAGUUGAACUGAAAUUAGGACAAUUUUUUUUUUCAUCUUUGUUUGUUGAUAGGAAGUCAAUGGGUUUGGAAAUAUUAUAAUUAUUAUCCCAUUUUUUAUUUUAUUAAAAAGCUUCACAAUAACACAUAAAAAAAAGGAAAAUAAUUAAAUAAUUAAUAUUUUAUUAUUUUUUAUUUUUUUCUAAUUGAUUUCGAUAUUACUCGAGAUCAAGUCCAACACGAAUAAAAUAAAUUAAAUAAUAAAAAUAAGUAUUUACACUGAAAUUUAGCUUUUUUCUUUUCAUCUUCCGGUGAAACAAACAUGCUAAGCAAUAGUACUCACUUAUCUGAAAAGCGUUCUUCUCACCUGUCAACAUAAAUAUAAAAGACAUAAUAAUAAAUAUUCGUUCUCAUCCAUUCCACGACCACGUGGCAUUUUUUUCUUUUUUUUUUUGGGUUAAUUUCAUGCAGAUCCCUGCAAAUAUAAUGAAUGACAAAUAUAUUCCUACAAAGUUUAACUUUUAUAUAUUGUUUCUGCAAAAAUUCUGAUAUUUUCAAAUAUAUUCUUUUGAUUUAUUAUUGUUAGCAAACUGUUUAUAUUUUUAAUUUUGCCAUCAUAAAUAUAUCCUCAAAAAAUCAUAACAGUAUAAUAUAAAGGAAUAAAAAUGUAAAAAACUAAUCAGAUUUAAGUAUUUAACAUAUGGAUAACAAAAUUUUUCUAACGAAUUCUAACAGUAGGAACAUAUUUGAAAAUAUCAGGAUAUUUUUAAGAAUAAUAUAUAAAAUUUAAACUUUAUAGGAAUAUAUUUAAUAUUUUACUAUAUUUGUAGGGACACGUAUGAAAUUAUUAUUAUUUUUUUUUUACAAAGAGUGAGAGCCGAAUCUUUUAAUGUAACGCUUACACUAAAGAGAUUCGUUUCGCUUUUGUUAUUUGAGAUUCCUCGUGGGGCCCGAAAUUUCCACCAAUGGCCAAUCGCCACGUCAGUGUCUCUUUUCCCACCGAAAGUUCCCAAUAUAUAGACGUUAAAGCAAAGACACAGGAUCCCGCAAAUAUAUCGCCUCAAACAGCAAACACCCGUUUCUCUGACGUGGACCCGUAGAAAACUGACACGUCAUAGGUACUGUGGGCCCGCGAUCUAUUUAGUAAAUUGCUGUUUAAUCAAAAUCCGAUAAUCAACUGUAAUUGAUUUUAUGAAAAGUAGGUCUCCAAAAUUUCUAUUUUUUCAAUUUGUAAAUCUUUUAAAUAUUAUAGAAAUAUCUCACAUGGUGUUUUUAGCUGUGUCUAAUUUAUCUGGUCAUUUGUAUUUACCAAUAAUCUGACUAUAAAUUAUUUUUAUUAUUUUUUUAGUUGAAAAUUAUAUUCACAAAUUUUUAUCACUUUUAUAUGUUAUAAUAAGAUUUUUUCUGAUGUACAUACAUACUAGUCUAAUCAAUUUUUUCUCUUUUUUUUCAAAUACAAACCCUAAUAGUGUUUUUUUUUUUUUUAAAUGUAAAGGCAUAAGAUAUUCGCCCUUAUAUAUAUUAUAUAUAUAUAUAUAUAUAUAUAUAUAUAUAUAUAUAUAUAUAUAUAUAUAUAUAUAUAUAUAUAUAUAUAUAUAUAUAUAUAUAUAUAUAUAUAUAUAGUAUAGAGUACUAAUGGCUACUACUAUCUAUUAAUAGGAUAGUAGCACUGUUCUAUCAAAUUGUUCUUGAUGAUCGAGAUUCCGAAUCGAUGAUCGAAGCGUUGAAGUUGAUCUAAAGUAUUUGAAAUAUUUAGAAACUAAAUUUUAUAAAUUUUAAAAUUAUUUAAUGGUGAUCAAAGUGUCGUAAAAUCGACAAUUUUAUUACUGUUCUAUAUGAGUCGUUUGCUUAUUUAACGGUAUAUGAGUAAUCCAAUUGCAUGAAUUUUGAUAAAAAAUUUUUAUACUAUUUAGAUAAUGUUUGAUAGUUCUGAUUAUGAAUCAAGAAAUCUAACCUCCAUUUUAAAAGGUUAUUCAUUUAUUACCGUUUUAGAUAAUGUUUGAUAAUUCUGAUUAUAAUUAGAAAGUCUAACCUCUAUUUUAAGAAGGUUAUUCAUUUAUGACCGUUUAUUUUUCAACUUUUAAGAUGAACUUGAUAAUAAUUUCAAAUUAUUAUAAAAUUGGUUUCUAAAUAUUUCUAAUUGUGUAGAUCAAUUUCAACGUGCGAUUAUCAUUUGUUGAGUGUCGAUUAUUCAAAAGAUUUGAUAGGACAACGUCUCAAUCCUAGUUAUAAUAGAUAGUACCGGGAUUCUAUAUAUAUAUAUAUAUAUAUAUAUAUAUAUAUAUAUAUAUAUAUAUAUAUUGCGUGUAUGCGUGGUAUUUUUCAAAUAGAAAUCUACUUUAUUUUCGUGCAAACUAUUGUAUUUCUAGCUCAAUGCCAGAUUUAGAAAAUUUUUCAUAGAAGAGUCAAAUAUAAAAUAAAAAAACAAAUAUAAAAAAAUUUAAUUGAUGCUUAUUUUUACUUGAAAUUCAAAUUUAUAAUAUUUACAAAGGUGUCACAUGGGAGCAAAAAGACGGUCUUUAUUUAUUAAAAUAAAAUGAAAUCAAUUAGUCAACAAAGUGGAGCUAAUUAUUAUAUAAUAGAUUUCAAUUUUAAAGAUAUAGGGAGGUUUUUUUAGGGAGGAGCUAUAGUGGGGCUCCACUCCAACCAAUAUAGAUCCGCCUUUGCCUGGCCAUUGCUCUAACUCCGUCUAAUUUAGAUAUAGUUUGAAAUGCAGCAGUUGGGUCUCCAACACUAGAUCUAACUGUACUAUAUAAUUGCAAGGGUUAAUUGCAUAAUUAAAGUUUUUUAUAAAUAUAUCGAAUAACAAAUAUAUUUCUGUACAAUUUAAUUUUUUAUAUUUUAUUUUUACAAAAGUUCAAUAAUAUUCAUAUUUGCUCUUCUGGUUUGUUAUCGUUGGAGCAUAUUUAUAUUUUUAACAGCAGUUAAGUAAAAUGACAUUUUUACCUUUACAAAUAUAUCUCUCCGGAAGCCCUAAUUAUGUAAAAAUGUCCUUCCAAAAAGUAUUAUACCCAAUAAGAUAAGAGGAAUAAAAAUGUCAAUUUAACUCAUUCGCUAAUCAUGCAAGGUUAAGUAUUUUACUUAUAGUUAAUAAUGUUUCUAACGGAUCCUAACAGUCAGGGUAUAUUUGAAAACGGUAAGAUUUUUGUAGGAAUAAAAAUAAAAAGUUAAACUUUGUAGGAAUACAUCUACUAUUUAAUAUAUUUGCAGCGAGCCGCAUGCAUGCAAUUAACCCUAAAUACAAUUGCGACAAAUGAAAUAAAUCUCUUAAAUUUAUAUACAAUUCUUCUUAUAAUACCGCGUGAAAUGUAAGCAACCAAACAGCACCCCAAAUGCAGUAGACUCAACUUCUCACACUCCACAUUCUUUUUUGGAUAAACUUCAAAUAUCACCCCUGUAGUUUCACACUCUCUCACUUUAGUAUCCUAUAGUUUAAAGUGUAUUAAGUCAGUGUCAUGUGGUUUUAUGUUUAUCUUUUCGUCGGCUUCUCCGUUCAUAUUUCGUUAAAUUAUAUAAAAAAAUUCAGAUAGUCCACUUAGCUUUAUCGAAUAUUCACUUUAGUACCCUUUAGUUUUAAGUUUGUUACUGAUUUAACAAAAAAAAAUUAAAUCAAUAAUAAAAAGAUAAAAAUAAAAUCACAGGACACUAAAUUGAUACACUUUAAACCAUAUGAUACUAAAGUGAGAAGGUGUGAAACCAAACACAGGAGUGGUAUUUAAAGUUUUUUCUUAAAAAAAAAAAAAACUAGGCACGUGGCACCUUCUCAUUGGCUACACAGUUUCUUAAAGCGGGAGAUGAAUGUUGAGAUCGACCGUUAGAAGUCGGCGGGAAUUAUUAGUUUUGUAUUAAAGUCGUCGCCGUAUUUCCCGGUUUCAUUCCCCUAUAAUUACUCUUUAUUUUCCUCUCUCUCUUUCUUUCUCUCUCUCUCUCUAUAUAUAUAUAUACAUGUGUAGUGUAUAGCAUGGCACAUAUAUAACAAAAUUACUACUACUCAUCAAUAGAAGAGUAACACUACUGAGGAAGUGAUAUUAGAAAGAGUAGUUGAUAACAUAAUAAGAUGACGUCGGUGAGUUUCUUUAGUUUGUAGGAUCAACAAUUUGCUUCUUGAAUAGUAUGAGUUUAGAUUACAAACUUUUGUUUUCUCUUCUUUCCUCUUAUUUUCUCCUCGCGUAGAUCGUCGAGAUUUGCGUUCAUAUGGACUGCGCCGGAUGCGAGAGCAAGAUACGGAAGGCGAUUCGGAAGCUCGAAGGUCAGCAUAUAAAAACCGAGGAUUCGGUUCCUACGCUUUUAAACCUUGUGAUAAUUAAAGAAAUAUUUGCAUAUUUAGUUACCUCUCUAAGUUUUAAAAUAUCUUAUGUACUCCUGCAAACUUUAAAACUCGUAAAUAUCUUUCUGAACCGGCCAAAAGUUAUCAUAUUUUAGUAUUAUAAUCAUUUUGCCUAACAAGCUCUAUCACUUUCAUUAUUAGUAAAUUAGGGUUAUUUGAUCUACUUAAGUUCCUUCUAGAAUGUCUUUAAUUACUACAUUUCUUAAGAGUGAUGAAGUGGAGAAGGAAAAAAAAGAAAGUCUUUUUGAGUAAACUAUGGUUCCUAUUCACUAGCUAAGAAAUAAAUCUCUAACUUUUUUUAAAAAAUAUACAUAACUAUUUAUAAUAAUCUAAAGUUCGGAGAGAUAGAUAUAUAAAAUAUUCUAAGGGAAAAUUUAUAUAUUUCAAUUGUCCCUUUAUGUUUUUGUAGCUUAUAUUUUGAUUGCCAAAAAUUUUUGACACUAUAUAUAUGAGUUAAAUUUUUGCCCGAUUGUUAGACACUAGCAAUGCUUAUUUAUAAUAUUCUAAAGUUAGGUUAUUUUAUCAAAAUUUAGGUUAAAUUAUAAAAAAAAUCUCUUACACUUUAGUGCCUGUCCCCCUCCAUUAAAAAUUGCAUCAAUUAAUUAUCCUUCUAUAUUUUAUCAUUAUCUCAAAUAUGCUGAGCUAUUUAGAAUAAUUGUUAAAUUCAACUAUAAAACUUUGUAAAAAUAAGUUUAUACAUAUAUAAAGUUAUCUAAGAGCAACGCACUAGAGUCAUACGAAUUGAAUAAAUUGUUUAAUAAACUAUUAAUUCUGAUAGUAUUAGCAAAAUAAACAGGAGUGGAUUCUGUGGAGAUAGACAUGGGGCAACAGAAGGUCACGGUCACCGGAUGGAUCGACCAGAAGAAGGUGCUCAAGGCCGUCAGAAAGACCGGGAGGCGGGCGGUGUUUUGGCCGUACCCUUACAUCGGGGAUCAGUUCACGCCGCAACAGUACUAUCAUCGCGAUCACCAUCCAGCUCUAGCUCGAAGCUACGUCGCGAGCCCCUCCUCCUCCUCCUCCUCCUCCUCCUACAACUACUACAACCACGGCUACGACGACGAUUCCCACAUGUAUGGGUACCACAAUUCGCCUGCGCACGCAGGGAUUGUUGGCGAGAGGGCCAGCGAUGUGUUUAGCGAUGAGAACGCGCACGGAUGUUCUAUUAUGUAAUAGAUAUACGAUCACAAGUAGUUUGCGAUGCUUGUUGAACCGUGAUUUUAUAUUUUAGAUUAUGAGAUAUGACAAAUGAACGAUUCGAAUGCACUUUGUAUCUAUGUAAGUAUAUGAAUAUUUUAUUGGGAAUAUAUAUAUAUUUUUUAACUUCACACUCGUAGUAAGUUAUAAGGUGUAUGAUUGGAUAUUUGCAAUAGUGUAUCAUAUUCGGCCUUCAAAUUAAGAUAAAUCGUUUUCUAGAUUAAAUGCCCUAACCUAUAAGGCUAUAAUAAAUGAAAAAUCUACAUAAGAUCCGUUUUUUUUUUUUUCAACAAAAAAACCAAUCGUCAUGGUAGUAAUAUAAUUUUUUUUGAAAACAAAAUAAAAUCAUAGAAUAUAAUUAAGUAUAAGUUUUGAGUCACGAGAUGGCAAAGUAAAAAUGUGCUAUACCAUAGAAUGGUUAAGUUCCACUUUUUGAACCACGGGGUACGCUCUACCAUUAUGGGGGCAAAUUGAAGUUUAUCUUUUUUUAUUGCUUAUCUUUAAAUUCUAAACUAUAUAUAUAUAUUUUCAAUUUAACCCUUUAAAAAUUUAUAAUUUGCCAAAUAACCUUGUAAAAAAUAUAUUUGGCCUCUAUUUUGUCCAACUUCAGGAUGGAAGAACAAUUAGAAGACGACCAAUUGUUUACCGUCUUUAAUUUAGAAGAUUGUGAAUCAUACCGUCUUUUCUUUAAAAAAAAUGGUGAAUGAUUUACCAUUUCUUCCCAUUUUUUAUAUAUAAUCUUAACAAUUGCAUAAAAUUUUUGAUAAAUCACAUAUAAUCUUAACAACCUAAAAUAUCAUAACAAUUUAUCUACACAAUUCUAACCACAAAAAAAAAUUCUAAUAAUCUCCGUACAAUUUUAACAACCUUACAAAAAUUUUUACAACUUAUAAAAAAAAAAAGUGAUAGUAAUAUAAACAUGGUGAAUGAUUGACUAGUUUCUAAAGGCGGUGGACGAUUCACCGUAUGACUUUACCGGAUUCCAGGGCCUCCUAGAACUAUCCGAUAUAUAUAUAUAUAUAUAUAUAUAUAUAUUUUUGGAAAAAUAGGUAGCAUGCUACCCGUUUCAUUUAUUUCAUUUAGAAAUAAACUUAGCUGGAAAUGUGAAUCAAUUAGGAUUCGAACUUGAGUCUCGGGUACCAACCACCGAGCCAUUUGCCAGUUGCUCUAGGGACGGUCGGUAACUAUCCAAUAUAUUAAAUAGGGAUAAUAUCUAGUAUGUUCUUUAAAAUUUUAAAAAUAUUUUAUUUAUUUUUAGACGAGAAAAAUAUUUUUGUUGAUUUAAAGAAAAAAUUCUUCAAAUAUUUUUAUUUCCACUAGGGUUUACUAAUGAGAUUGAAUUUUAGAAAAGUAUUUUUCUUAAUUUCAACUACUCUUGGAAUCGAUUGGUCAUUAUUGAAGACCGAGAUGUUGAGAACUCACACUUGACAAGAAUUUUAAGAGUUGUUUGGAUGUAUAUAAUUGCAUAUCCAACUUCAUUUAGAACCAAUUUCACUAUUUGAAUUACUAUACUAGCGUUCAGUUAUAGCGGGUGGUAGUGCAGCAAUUGAGAAAUUAAUUAAUUUUAGAAGAGUUUUAAGUAAGAGAUAACUCUAACGAUGCUAUAAACAAGAAAGUUUUUUUUUUUUUCUUCUUUUACAUUUGAGUAAUUGCACCACCUUAUAUAUAAAGUUAUAAAUUUGUAAAAAUGAUUCUCAAUUGCACGGUGCCUUUUAACCAAAUUAUUUGUUAACUACAAUGCCUUUUUUACUGCAUACAUCUCUAGCUGUACUGUGUUAAUAAUUAUAUAUUCAAUCAAAGGGCCCUUUAAUCCCCCACUCUAAAACUUACAUUUGGUAUUUUGUUUAAUUUGAGAGAGAGAGAGAGAGAGAGAGCCAAUUAAGUUGCUGUGGUAUUCCUGGUGUACAGUUGUUGAGACUUGUCGAUAGCUCUGGAGAGUGUCGGGACAAGUCCGAGUCGUGUUGGCGCGAAAUAGACGUAAAACACACUCAGCGGGGACGUGAGAGUAGGACUUAGUUUUGAAAAUCUGCAAAUAGCAGAUUUUCUGCUUGUUGUACCGGUACGACUAUCAAGACGUACUGGUACACUUUCUGUACCGGUACAACCAGCAGGGGCGUACCGGUACACUUCGUCAGGAUUUUACGCAGCUGCUCUCGGGUUGCCAUUUGUACCGGUACAACUGUCCGUGUACCAGUACACCAGGGUAGGUAAGGGGCUUUUUGGUAAUUCUCUUGCCUUGAUUGUAUCUCCAUCCCUUCUCCCCCCUAUAUAGGAUAGAGAGAACAGAGAGGAGAUGUUUAUAGUGCUCUCUCUCUUCUCCUUGUGCUCGACCGUACGUGGUGGAGGAGCUCGGUUGGAGUUCGGGUGUCGUCGACGUCGCGCCGCGGUGCCGUUCGAACGUGUCUUCGUCGUCGUAGCAUCGCGAGGAGGCCGGGCGAGGGUGCGAUUCCGCCGUUCUCGACGUCGCGCCGGAUUGGGAUUAGCUUUUGAGGUGGGUUAAUCGUCGGUUAUCUUUUAAGUAUAUAGAUUGUCGACAUAUGUUGUUAUAUUGUUUCGUUGAUAGAAAUUGCUCGAUUCAUGAAUUUUGGCAUGUUUAACUGUAGAAUCUGAACUGGAGCUUAGUUCUGUGACUAAGUGUUUAUACAUGUUGGACUUGGAUAUGAAUUAGGAGAAAACCUGCGAUUUGAACCUGUCACAUGCUUAAACUAUCUGAUUUAGCUCUAGGAGCCGUUGUUAUUCUGUAUCACCGCAGUAUCAGCAUUAUGGAUACCCCAGGUAGUUUAGAUAGCUGUUACGCUCGUGCUGGGAUGCCGAGUGUAUUUUUACAGUAGUGUUCAGACUGUUCCUGACUGUUGGGUGCCGUCGGGGUUGACGGUGGACCCAUAUCGCUGUUUUGGGCGUCAGAUUAUGCUGAGGGCACGUGACCUGUUGGUUGUUAGACCAGUUGGACCAUGUUACUUAACUUUGGCUUGUGAGAGCCUGAUUGAGCUUGACAGAGAUACGCUGCAUACUCAGUUGGGUAGCUCCCAUGAGUGCCACUCCGGAGACGGGCACUGUGCUUUCACGUUGGUGUCGUUCGUGCAGGUUGGACUUGCUCUCCACGGAUUGCUUAGAGUGGAGGUAGCUGUAUAGUCGCAACCGGGCGGGACAGGUGUGUUCACAGUCCCAGGGACGGGUAGGCUUACAGUCCCAGUUCGAUUGGGUCAGAAUUGUCACUUCCUACAGUUGGUUAGUGUAGAGCAUGAUAGUGUAGUGUCUUGUAGCUGUAGAGUUUCUUCUAGCAUUUCAUACUAUUCUUUCUCCCUUCUGUAGACUUAGUGGGUGGACCGACGUUGUUGAGGGCGGUACCUACUGAGGACUACUUAUGUUUACAGUAGUUCUCACACUCAGUUGUUACCACUGUUUUUGCAGAGCCUUCGGUUCCGGCUGUUGCAUCUUCUGAGGCAGAUCGUGGCAAGGGCGUUGCGAGCUAGAGCCCUACCCGACGAGUCGCCGAGCUAGAGAAUUACCCGCUUCUAGUAGUGUGGUUUUUGAGUUCAUAUACAUACCUUUACUGUAUCUCGCUGGGCGAGUUUUUGUGUACUGGAUGUUGUAUGUAUAGUGAACUGUCUUUUUCUACCUGGAUAUCUUUGUCUUCUUGCAGCUCUAUACUACUGGUUGUAGUAUUGUAUGUUAUACAGGUACAGCUACGCUUCGUAUACAGGAAAAUUUUUUUUGUAUACGGCGGAUUUGUCAGUGUGCCCGGAGAACGUGCAAUUCGGGGCGUGACAGUUGCCAUAACAAGGAAAAAUUUAGUGAGAAGAGAUUAUGACUACUGCAAAGGUGAUCAUUCUUUUGUUCCCUAGCCUCUUUAGUGCAGGAAAUACCAGGUACAAGCAUAUGUUCUUCAUUGUUUGUUUGUCCAUUUGUCCACCCACACUAAAAAUUUGAGCUAGAUAAGCAAGUGGACAUCAAUUAGGAAAAUGCUCUCUCUCUCUAUACAUAUAUACUAUAGAGAGAGAGAAUUUUGCUAGGCUACUAUCAGCAGUAAAUUGAUCGAUUUAUUUUCAAUGAUAGAAUUUUAAAUCAAAUUGACGAUUGGCAUUAUUGAAUAUAAUCUAGACUAUCUAAAUUAUCUAGAAAUCAAAUUUCACACUUUUUCAUCAUUACUAACUGGUGGGUUAUUUGGACAAACAGAAACUCGACUAUUUUUUGAGCCACACCCCACAACGCUGCCCGAUCAAUUGAGCGCGUCAGACUACUGAAGCGUGACUGGACCUUACUUCAUUGCGCGAUCUUCCCCAUCCUAUCUCCACCUCUCUCUCUUUAUUUUUUUUACUCUUUACUUUCUAAUGCUUCGUUCUUUUUACCAUUCUUAAUUGUUUUUCGGUCUCGGAGGCCGCGGUUGCCUCCACUCUUUAUACUUAAUUUAUCUUACUUUAUGAAUGAAGUAGAUAACUUUCUAUCUAUUUUUCAAAAAAAAGAAAAGCAACACAU